RNAcentral lists this long non-coding RNA (61916 nucleotides) under Triticum aestivum (bread wheat). RNAcentral describes it as "long non-coding RNA (TAES_LNC002937)". The stretch from base 38530 to 38616 matches the Rfam family "MIR1120/MIR1122 microRNA precursor family". Lineage: Eukaryota; Viridiplantae; Streptophyta; Magnoliopsida; Poales; Poaceae. The record is from RNAcentral.
UUUUGCCUGGUUGGAUGCAUAUCCUCCCAUCGUUAUUGUCCUCAAACAAAUGUCAUGAGAACUAAGAAAAUCCUUGUGCUUAUUACGCCAAUGAUUGGUUAUAUGUUUUUCUCCAUGUGGUUCUUCCUAAGUAGACAUGAAGAUUGAAAACAGUUAAGGUCUGAAAAAAGAGUAUGUCGAAAGAAUGACAGCUGAACAGUUAAUUCUAGUACAAUAUAUACGGGCUUUCAAUGUGCAUGAAAUCAUCACCUCUAUGUAUAAAUUCUCCAGAGAUCAAAAGCAUCGCAGCAAGCCAAUAAUUAUGUCCAGAUCAAAACUAUACAUUCUGAUAUAUAUGAUCUUGACAGAAUCUAGCAGCAUUGAUAGGCUAUCAAUGGACGAACUCUUCAUUGAGCAUAUAACAUAAUAUUAGUACCCAAAGUGUACUCCAAGAUGAUAUAAAACUUAUGCGCACAAAUGAAAAAUGCAGCAUAUGAUUACAGAUGUGUAGAUGAUAAUAUACGGUACCUGAAAAGGUGAGGAGCCAAACACCAACUCCUUGUGAUUAUUAAACGGGUCACGAAUUACACCCAAGGUCUCCAGUUUGGGCGCAGAGACGACAGUUAUUUCUGAAGGUGUAUAACAAUUAUCAAGGAGCAACCUUUAAAGUGAAGGGGCAUCUUCGAUGAUGAGCUGUUGUCCUUCAAAACAAAUUCCAAUGCUUUUAAGGUGAGGGGACUUUAUUUGGAGACAACUGAUACCGUUUUCUAUUCCCAAAACAAUCAGCAAGCGCUCCAGGGCAGGGCAACUAGAGUGGAUGAUGAUGUGCAGUGAGGCCUCCGACAGAUAAACCACCACAAGCGAAAGUUUUUGUAGGAAUGGGAGUCGAAGCAUUUGUACCAGAUCGUCUGGUAGAUGGCACCGGGCGAAGGUGGCGGUGUGGAGAGAGGAGGAAAACCGCGAGAUGGACAAUGGUGGUGUGGGCACGAAUUCUUGGUAUGUUCGUGGUAUGAAACUUUCGUGGUAAUGGUAGAACUCAAACUGCUGGAGUUUUCCGAAUUCAGGGGAUGUCAGCCAAGCGUCCACCUUGCCGGGUAUGGACAGCAGGUAGCUUAUCGGGAUGCAAAGGCAUUGAACGGGGCCCUGCUGGUGAGAAGAGACGAUGGCUCUGAUGAGAUCAAAUUCAGGAAGGACAGAUAUCUGACGACAGUCGAGAUUGAGGGGCGCGGUGCGCCAUAGAGGGCGCCACCGAGUUGAGAGGACUUGUGUGCGGCAGCAAUCCUUGGUGGGGAGAAGCAAGAUGAUCUCCUCAAGGAUGACGUCCGGGAGAUCGCUGAUGUGGUCCAUUGGAGAUUCUACCGGUUCCUCAGAUCCGGGUGGGGGGGCUCACCGCUUCUCCCCGCGCUACCAGGUGCGGGAUCUACAACCGGCAUCGCCGCUGGCGGGAGCCUCAUCUUCUUGGCGCUGGGGCCAGCUGACUCCAUUUUCCUUGUGGGCGUCGCGCUGAGCUCACGGGUUUGAGCAGAGUAGCCAGAGACGAGCCUAGUGGCAGUGCGAGUGGGUAAGAAGGAGGGCUGGGGAUUUCUGUAGGAGUGGAAGAAGAGGAGCAGGCGUUUUCUGUACGAGUGAGGAAGAAGGUGAUCGGGGUUUCCUGGACGAGUGAGGAAGAUUGGGGAGCGGGGGGAAUUGGGUGGGGAGACGAAAGCGGGAGAGCGAGUUGUUCGUGCUUAUAAGGCCCGCUGCACUAACUACUCGCUGUUUCCCAAGAACCUCUCUCUUCUUUUGCCUUGCUGCAUGACUGGCCAUGCAUGCAGGAUGCAUGUGCCCGCCGGCCACUACAUGCGCCUGGUUUGUUACUUGGCCUAUUUAAUAGGGUGGUUAUGGAGUAAAUUAAGGAGAUUUAUUUUCUCUGUGUGCAUCCACCAAAUUAGAGCAUGCGGUACUGGAUGCAUACACUCACAUUAAACUAACAUUUAGAAGAACAAAAGUUCAACAUGUCUAUGCAUCUCAAUGAUUCACCAUACUAUAACCAAUAUACAAAAAUGUGAGAAGGUGUGGAAAUAAAGAAAAUCGGUUGAUGCUUCUCUGAGCAAAGGGCCUCCCUGCACACGCAUUAAUUUUUCCUGGGCAUGCUUGUUUCUUCUCAAUGUUGCGAGCACUUUAAGCAUGUUGGCAACUCCACAGCUAGCUAGCUGCCUCAUCUUGCAAUUGAUGCUGACACAUUUGCAACAAACACAUGAGGCAAUAGAGAUGACUCAACAUGGGUCCAUAUUGUGCAGUUCCCCUGAUAUCAUAUUCAUUGUCCUGAAUCUGAAAAGAUAGGAAAAUAGUAGCUAUACUUAAACGGUGUUGCAAAAUAGUAGCACAUAUCAAUAGCUCGGCAUGACAAAACACGAUCAUCUGGACGAAGGGGAUACUGACCUGCCUGAGGAAGAUUACAUAUAAUUUCAUAAUUCCUUGGUUGAUUUCCACCUUCGGCUGCACUGCUUGUUUGCUCCUCCACACAUGACAGGAUCGUUCCGCACUGCAUUCAGCAAGUCAACGUUCAAAUAAGCUAAUUUCAUCUUGCGGUGGUCAUUGUACCUAGUUACGAAUGUAGGAAUACCUGGAGCACCAUGAGGUUAGCUGACAGCAGGUAGAUGCAGCCAUAUAAAUUUUGUGCGGUGCUACAAAAAUUGAGGUUUGUAUCCCUUCCCGUUAUGAGAAUUCUUCUUGAAGUUGGUAGAAUGUGACGGCUUGUUCUUUGCAUCAAACUUGCCUUUCCCCUGAGAUUUGUUCUCGUUUUUUUGGGGCUGGUUGGGCUGGAAGUUCUUCUUGUGUACCAUGUGGGCACUAGAAGCUCCCUCGGCGACCCGAGCACGUGUGUCUUUUGCUCUCGCCUUCUCCUCAAAAUCAAGAGUGCUAAUGAGAUCCAAAACAGAAAACUCAUGUCUCUUGUUUUUCAGAGAAGUAGCAAAAUCGUUCCACGAAGGUGGAAGCUUGGCAAUGAUGGUCCCAGCAAAAAAUUUGUCCAGCAACACACACUUAAAGUACUCAAGUUCCUUAGAGAGUGAUUGUAUCUCAUGAGUCUGCUGAACAACAGAGUGCUCAUCAGUCAUCUUGUAGUCACAGAAUUGCUCCAUGACGUACAACUCGUUGCCACAGCCCGAGGGCCCAAACGUGGCCUCGAGCGCAGCCCACAUGUCUUUGUCGCUGUUAAACAACAUAUACGAAUCCACAAUGGAAUCGUCAAAGAACACUCAGCAGGGCGGCUUUGAAGAGGGUAUCCAUGUUCUGAAAAGCUUCCUGCUGUGUAGGAUUAAGAUCGCCCUCAGGCUUACCCUUAGUGGCGUCAUAGCAGUACAUGAUCUGAAACAAAUAUACUGCUCUUGUGCGCCACCUUUUAUAUUGCACCCCCUUAAAAGUAGGCGGCUUCAAAAGCGCAGCAAAACCACUCGGAGUAAAUUGCAUGUGAUCAGGUUUUUGGAUUGGAUUGUUGAAUAUAUGAGCAAUUUAGUAUGAGAUUUAAUCCGAAUCAGCAGUAAAUAGAUCAUGACAACAAUUGCAAACAUCAAAGUAAUGAUGCGGACUAAACCAGGAGGACAGAAUCACAUACUGUACAGCGGGAGCAGAACCGAUGUGGUUGAUGUUGUCACUCAUGUUGUUGAUGAAGAGGUUACCGAGGUCGGGGAAGAAGGUUGUCGUUGAGGAAGUCGUCACUGGCAGCAGUCACAGGAGUGUGCUCCCCAAAAACCUGAUCGCCCCUCUCCCGUACAGGAUCACGAAAGGCGGGGUUCGGAGGACUGUUGUCCCUUCUCGCGGUGCAUGCCGGAAGGAGGGCUGGAGAAGAAUUGCGUGGCGGCGCUAAGAUCUGGAACGGUGCGAAACCAUAUGAUACAGCGGCAGCUAGGGUAGAGCAUGUCAGGUCGGAGUAUAAUAGUUGGCCUUUGGCCCCCAAACCCCACGUCCAAGUCAAUAAUAGCUCAAAAAAAAGUCAAUAAUAGCCCCACCAAGGUUUGUCUCAAAAAAAAACGGAGUAAUUAAGGCGUCCAUUAGUCCCUUUAGUAUAAAUACAAUAUCAUUAAUAAUGGCCCCACCUUUUGUCUCACAAAGUAGAGUAUGUUGGAGUACAACCGGCUACACGUUUACAAUCCGCUUCUCUUCUCUCUCCUCUUCUCUCUCCUUCAACUAAUCACAAAUACUAUAUUUAAAUCCUUAUAGCCUGCUUAUGUCAUCUAAUUAUAGUACUUGCUCUAGAAGUUACUACUCCCUCCGUCUCAGUUUACAAGUCCUACGCGUAUACCUAGGUUGUCAAUUUGAUCACCCUAAUAUAAACUAUAUAACACAAAAUUUUUGUCUUUUGAAAAUAGAACAUCUGAAGUUUAUAUUGGUAUAUUUUUCGUAAUAUAUUACUUGUAUUAGGUUGGUCAAAUUGAAGACCUAGGGGUACGCGCAUGCCUUGUAAACUGAGAGAGAGGGAGUAUCCACUAUGUAGUCUGAAAUGCCGGGCGUGUAGCGGGCGGUGCCCUCGGUCGGCGUGCCGCUUCAACGGUGGAAGCAGUGAGAGGUCGCGUCGCCCUGACUUGCCAUCAAUGUGGAGCGGCGGGCUUAGCUGGCGCCGGGCGGGAAGCGCGCGCGGGAGGGGGGAGGGGUUUUUGUUGGGCCAAGAAGGUGAGAAGCCAACUUGGGAUCGGUCCGGACAGGGAAAUAUCAUGUGCUCCCAUACUCUGCACAUGACACUAGUCUAUGUUACUACUCCCUCCUUUCCGGUUUAUAGAGAUGUUUAGAGUAUCAUAGUAAUAUGUUACAGUACAAGUUACUCCCCACUAUGACCAGCCUUGGCCUCUCCCAGUGCUCCACCAUGUAUAGCUGCUAAGCCUGCCACGUAGGCAUAAAAUAUGAUGUGGCACCAAUAAACUAAGCACCUAUGCAUUGAACACUUGAGUUACUAAGCCAUUUAAUACACUUAGCACCUCAUCUAAAGAGCAUUAAUAGUAUAGCCAGGUGCUGGCUAUAAGCCUACAGCCCAUCUUAUAGUCAACAUGUACAAAGUGCCUAGGAGCACGUGCUAGAGCUGGCUCUUCACGAAGAGCCCGCUUACUUUCUCUCUCCUCUUCUCUUUCCUCCAACUAAGGCUGGUCGUAAUGGUAGUAUCAUAGCUAGUAUCAUGCAUGCCAACUAGGCAAUUUUGACGAGGUGGCAUAGCAUUAAAUGAAGAAAGAAAGAGUGGAGUAUCAUAUCAUGAUACCAUAUCAUAAUAAAUGCUAUGCUACUUUGUGUCAUGCAUGACAAUAAAUAGAGUACUACAUGAUACUACUAUAUGAUACUAUGCAUUACGGAGGUAGUAUCAUACACUAGUAUCAUAUGCAUGAUACUAGUAUAUGAUACUCCCCAUUACAACCAGCCUAAGCAGAAAUAUACUACUGUUUAUUCCUUAUAGCCCGCUGACUCAGCUCUAUUGUACUUGCUCUAAGCACAUCUAAGCACUUGCUAGCACCCCCUUGACCGUGGACCUUGACGGUGUAUGUCACCUUGUGUCUCAUAAUUUUCCUCGUCAUCAUCUGAGUCCUAGAAGAUCUCACCCACAUCAUCAUUAGCAUGCAGCCGCCUUGAUAGACAAUGUGUGCAGAAGGAGUAGAGGCGACUUGGGACGCACCACCACCACGUCGUGGGCACUCCGUAUGUGCUCGUGUGCGUGCAGCGUGCGUGUUUUUCCAUCGGUGCUAGCUCUAAGGCCGAGGCUGCGGUCGUCUUCGUCUCCAACUAGUAGUUGAGCAACGACAGCAAAGAGGUGCUGCAAGAGAUGCGAAUGCGCUGUUGCGUGCGAGCUUCGCCGUAGCACGACGAACCGGACGUCACCGCGGAUGGCACACGCCUCCAUGCAGCCGACUGUGUGCGCAUGCAUGUGUUAUUCACGUGCAUUCUGCGGUCGAGCGUGUGUGCAUGCACGUCUUGUGUACGUGCGUUGUGUGCUCCAUGCUAUGCAUGUAUGUGCAUGAGUUGGAUCGGAUGGAGUUAGUGCAUUGGCUUGUGUACACAUUUUAGAGUGUAGAUUCACUCAUUUUGUUUCGUAUGUAGUCCCUUAUUGAAAUAUCUAAAAUCCUAUAUUUGGGAACGGGGCGAGUAUAAAACAUCUUCAACUUAGCAUCAUGAUGUACCGUUUCUAGUGGUUAGCGAAAAGUUCAUGUUCUCUUAGUUGUUUAUAGGUGGGCAGGCGGCAAAAAACAGGGGGAAACGCACAAGGUUCCUUGCAGACGCUCCACCGCGAGGUUCCUUGCUCCUCCUCGGUCGUCGGGAAUCUAUGCUCUUCAACUCUUUUCUUUUAUGUGAGCUUUGUUCAUCCUUUUCCCAACACGCGGGACAUCUAGCAUCAAGGUGCACAUGUCAUGCAAGAAAAUGGAGAUAAUCAGAUAAGUAGUGCGUAAGUGAGUCGUGCGGGGGGGAAGCGGGGGGAAACCCUUUUCCGUAAGUGAGUCAUGCACUUCGAUGGCACCUACACAAUAUUUUUUCUCCUCGAUGGCACAUGAAUGGCACGUGAAUAGUGCACGUACUCAACGAUGGAGCACGGGAUGGUAGCAAUGACAUGGUCAGCCUUUUUUGGAGAGAGUAUGUACUACUGGUAAAUAACUUUGAUGUGUCCCGUCAACUCAUAGAAUGACGAGAAGCUUGAUUACGCCUUCUCCCUCGCCAACACGUGCGUGGUGGCUCGCAGCAUGAUGCUUACAAGCGGUGGACGUGCAUCAGUUCAUUUGGUGUUAGAUUGCCAGAAGCACUACUAUAGAACCAUCGACUUCCGGAAGAGGCGAAGAGCCAAGCGCAAGGUCACCUACUAACCUUAGGCUAGGCGUAGUGGGAGUAACAUAAGUAGAGGUACCUCCUUUUUUUAUUCUAGAAACAACCACACGCGAAUAUCAAGGUGCUGGUUAUGUAGAACAAAUUUCCUACAGUCCGUGCUCAACCCUCCUCUAUCUCUCUUCUCAGCCAGCCAGCGGACGCGCGGAGCCCAUCGUCCGUUUGCUCACAUGUGGCCCCACAUGUCAGUGAAAACACAAGAGGACCCACUGAACCUGCACAUCUUUCACCUCGACGUGCUGGUGAUGAAAAACAAAUCCAAGAAAGAUCUUCGGUGGCCGCUUUUGGAGUUACUCAAGAGUAGUAAGAUUCUAUUUACAGUUUAACCCAAGAUGCACAUCUCAUGGCUUCAACUACCACUCUAUUUUCUUUCAUGACACGACCUGGAUGCUGGAUGUCCCACGUGUCGGCAAAAGGAGGAAGAACCGGACCAAAUCUUCAGUUGUGCUCUCGGAUUAGACUAGUUGUGCUAACUUAAAAAAUUUAUUGUGUACUCCCUCCGUUCCAAAAUACUUGACUUCCAUUUGUCCAAAAAUGGAUGUACCUAUAUACUAAAACAUGUCUAGAUACAUAUAUAUUUUGACAAAUAGAAGGCAUGUAUUGUGCAAUGGAGGGAGUAGAAUGGAUGCAAGUUUCUGUAUUGGGAAGAAGAGUACAUCCAUAUAUUGAUAGAGCGCAAUUUAGUAGAUGUUCUAUCACUUUUAGCUAGCACAGAGGCUAUAGAUGAGAUUAGUGCACUUGUUGAUACUCCUACUUGGUAUGCGUGUUGCUGCUUAGACGUAGAGAAAAACGGACCGGAGGGAGUACUAGAAUAGAGGCUAGACAUGAGACUAGAUGCGAGGAAGCAACGUCUACUUCUUUACACUCGAAGAAGAAAGAAGCACGCAAGAUCGAGCCUCCGCGGAUCAACAAUGAAUGCAUCGAGAAGGCACUAAUCCAACUUACAGUAGUAGAAAAAUGUAUUCUUGUGGUUCUUGUUUUCUUUGGUCUUGCUUUUCCAGUCAAAAUUAUCAUUGGAGUUCGUGCAAAACGGAGGCCCAUUUGGGGUCGUGCGUUGUAGUUGGCCUUACAAGUGGGACCGCAGUUAAGGAAACCGACUAUCAGCAAACCCCCACCUCGCCCGCCGCGCGAUGGCUGGGUUAGAGAAACCAUGAGGUUGAAGAGAUUGCUCUAGCACGGACUCCAAGAAAUAUGGUGUCAGAUGGAAGUCGUGCUGGUGGCGUGUGCCGUACUCCUGGACGUGAAUGCUUGUUCUGGCCCAUGCCACCCUACUACUCCUACUACUUACUAUAUAGUACUACUAGUAUUGAGGAUUCGAGGUGCUGGUUAUGUAGUACAGUAUGGCUAUAGUAAAAACACCCGCACAACGCGCGAAGCAUGUGAAGCUAGUACAAAUAGUGUACUACUAUUGUUGAUUGGCCUCAUCCGAUAACCUGUUGCAAUGCACAUACAAUUAUGUAUUUGGAAAAUAUUUUUUUGCCUCGUCGCACCACUCACUCACAAAAGCGACUCAAAAGCUGUUCAUAAAUUUAGUAAGUUUAUCACACGCAUAUCAUUUUAUUACAUACAACAGGUCAUCAACCCACAUCGACAACGAGGAUACAUUAUAAAUACUAAAGUUUUCACCACACAACAAAUAACAAGCAAUGAAAUGAACUUGAACUCAACCAUUCCUCGGCAUUGGAAACGCUUGCUUUGAACCACAAGUGAUUCUCUGGGACGGGCCAUCCAUUGUCGAUCUGGAGACCAACGCAGGACUGAUCAUCCAGGCUGAAGCGGCCUGCUAUAUCAGUACCAGGGUAGGGAACCACCUAAAUGUCCGAGGUAUAGACAUAGUUGCUUCUCAUAAAUGGUAGUAACAUUGUGUCAACAGCAGUUGGAUCGCCUUUCACCAUCAUUGGAUAGUUUUGUCCAAGGAAGAGUGAGUUUUCUCCAAGAUUAUCAAUUCUAUACUAGGGAGAAGGAGUUGGCGCUAGCACACUAGUAUCCAUCCCGAAUACCAUGCAACGGGUGUUGGAAUAGGUCCGGAGAGUGCGACCAUGGGAGACUACACCUGCUUCCUUAGCUGUAACAUCAUCAGUGGGCUGUAUACACACAAGAAGAGGUGAUCCAUCGGAAUUAGUUACCAGGCGCCACAAAGUAUAUGGGCGCUGCUCGUCCUCAUGCUCGUGAUCAUCACCAUCGUCAUCUCCCCCUUGGUUAUAAAAUUUUUCUAGUAUGGGUGGUGGAAUGUUCACAAGACCUUGGAAACACAAGAAGAAGGUUAAUUAGUAAAGGGAAACUUGCUAACCCGCAUGCAUGUGGAGGAAACAAUUAUAAUUACGGUGGAAGACAAACAUACCAAAACUACGAGGAUUCCAUGCAAAAAUAGUGCCACGAGUGGUGGCAGCAAACACAAGGCCCUCAUAUUCAAUUGCAUCACAGUACUCAUCCAUGUACAGAAACUGAUUUUUGAGCAAUAUCCAUCGAGUCAAACCAGCAAGGAUGGCAACAAGCUUGUCGAAGAUAGCAACAACUUCAUAGUUGUUGUAAUUCCAAGAGCGGUUGGGAACUUGAAAAAUUGCUAUCUUUCAUAGAAGACAGUCACCAUGAUUGUAUUUGAACGUGCGUACAAUACCGGUGUGCUCAACCUCUGGGCAGUCUGCUGAGAUUUUUGGAAGUGGAACCCGGUCACGAGUGUACACAUUCACAAGUUCCCACUCGCAGUUGGACCCAAUGUUUUGCGCCUGCCCAAGCCUUGCCCUCAAGCGAUGGCAUCUUAACAUCAUACGUAUCAUUAUCAAGCGGCAUCAACUUGCACAGGGCGAGGCCUCCGUCGUGACGGCGUCAGUCAUCAGGGUCACGGCGAAGAAGAUAGGGGAGAUCAAACCGCUCCUUGACUCUUGGGUUCCUUGUAAUGAUGUUAUUAGUUGAGUCAAGAAUGGGUUUGAACGAACCUGCCAUGCUAGCCGAGGUGAUGACGUUGCACCGAUCAAUGAGUUCCUCCACCACAUCAUCUUUCAGAUCGGGGCAAGAAUAACGGGGUUGUUUCCGUCAUGUUCCCUCCAUGGAGAAGACGAUCGAACAAUGGCAGAAGAAAGGGUGAAGGGCUGAAGGAAAAUGGAGGAGGGAGAGGAAGAGUGUGCGGCAGCAGUUCCAAAUUAAGAGGGAAAGGCAAAGAGUCGGUGGACGGUUGCCAGUUUGCCAUGGUUCACGAAGGGGCGCCCCGGCCUACACGUCGGUUCGGAAAUACUCCUACUACUCGCCGUCAUCUCACUGAUAUGUUGGAACGGGACCACAUGUCAACGAAACAUGGUGUGUAAUUUCUCGUGCAAAAUGCAAUAUGGCCGCGUUGGCCCGAGGUGCCGCAUUAGUUUUGUUUUUUGAAAGUCUGCCGCAUUAGUUAUCGACCCUUAUUUUUUUUAACAUGCAAUCUGAAUGGAUAGCUCCUGUGGUCAUCACAUGUGAGCGGAUAUAGUGAUGGUUGAUUAGCCUGAGCAACUUAUUACUGUGGGAAUAUGGGAGUACCAGCGGAUUCAAGGAAUAGAGAAAUGAUGGUUGCUUCGUCCGAGCAACUUACUGUGGCGAAGGUGGGGCUCUAUGAUUUGACUGCUCACUAGUCAUUACUACUACGGUGCAAUGACCGGGGUGAAUCUUUCCCUGAAGUUGUGUUGUGCACUCAAUAUUGUUGCAUGGCAGGUGGAGCCGUAUGAAGGAUGUCCAACAUGUCGGCGAAACGAAGUUGAAUUGUUUCUGGCAUUGCUAUCAAUCCUUCAGGAUUUGUUUAUAUGUACGCAUAAUUUUGAUGAAAUUGUACUAUGAUGCUAUGAAGGUUUCAACUCUGGUUCCCGCAGGAAAAAAAAGGUUUCAACUUAGGAUUCAUGUGUCUUGCCUCGAGAUUAUCUCGUUACAACAUUCCAUCAAAUACAAAUGAAACUACCAUGGCUAAUGCAUCUCAAUGGUUCGCAGAUCAGCGCCAAUAUUCACAUCACAACUGAAGACAAAGUUGUGAGAAGGUGUACAAAUAAAGAAAAAAAUAUAAUUGAUCGAUGAUGUUCGUAGGCAUGGCUCCAUUUCCUUGGCACAAUGUUCAUUGCUUGGCAGCUAGUUUCACCCAGCUCUGUAGCCAAAAAAGAGGUGUAUGAAGGACACCACAAUCCGAUCAUUUUGUGCAGCUCCACUAAAAUCGGGCGGACCAUCCCUAUUUGCAAAGAUAUCCAGUCAGUGUGAUUACAAUAAUAGUGGAACUAGAUGAUGAAACAUAACACGCAUAAAUAGAAGUCGAUCACCUCUACGAUCUCUCUUUAGGACUAACUUCUUGUUGGAGAAGAUUAGGCACGGAGUUGGAUGAGGAGGAUAGCAAAACCAAUCUCCCUUUCCGCAGUCCCACAGAAAUGUAAAAACGUUGCCCGUGUGAUAUUUUGGCGGAACUGCACAAAACACUCUUCAGAAAAGUGAUUUGUGCAGUUCACCAAAAGGUCGCAAUAGCAACGAGGUGAAAAUGGAUAGCCCUGUUUGCAAAAGGAGGUCGAAAGGAAACAAUUACUGCCCAAUAACACGAGUUGAAGACACAUACGCCGACAAAAAAGAAGCAUGUUCCAUGUAAAAAAGGGAAAGAUAGCACAUGGUGGUUUAUCAAAAAUGGUUUGAGGAUGAGAUUGCAAGAUGGAAAGUACGCCGGCCGAGAUAUGAUUUAAGCAAACAACUAAAGAAGAUCCACAUGCAGCAACGUGGGAAGAUGGGCAGUGGAGCAAGACCGGAGGAAGCUGUACCUGAGGGUCAUCGGGAUGUUACUAGGAGGGCGCCGGCGGCCGGGAUCUGCCCAUACUGCGGCAGUGAGCAAGUGGCGAAGGCCCUACUGCACUGGAGCUUGGUCAGAGAGAAUGGCGGGUACCGUAGAUCGGGAUGAGCUGCCUCAACGCCGUCGAACGGAGAGACGAUGCACAUCCUCCCUUUCCGCCGGCGGACGGGAUGCGGCCGGAUCACUGACCAACGCUGAGAGAGAGAGAGAGGCCACGGCGGCCUUGUGUGAGAUGUGUGACGAGACUCACGAGAGACAAACCCAUUUUUCCAUUUUCCCCACGGCAAUCGUUUUAUAUUCUAGGCAUGGUACCCGACCCUCCUUCGAGUAAACAACCGCUACACGCGUCAAAUUAUCACGUGGGCUGCCUUUUCGUACAGAAACAAACUCCACCGUGUACCCGCGCGGGUGUGGCCGGGAACGAGAUGUGAGUGCGUGCGUCCUGUGUGCACUUCUUCUUUAGGUGCAGGUACGUACAUGGGUGGGUGUGAGAGAGAUGGUUUGUGCGAAACAGAGGCAAUGUGUUGAUGAUAUCUCAAUCAGAAAAACGUAACAUAUGCAAUGUGUGUGAAAUGGAGUCAUGGACGUGAGAUAUCGAUAGAAUUUGAGAGGGCAGAGGUGUAGUUCUUCUCCGUGGCAUGGAUACCUACCUACAACGUUCGACUAUCGGUGUGUGGGGGGGGUAGAGACCGGUCGACUAGUAUAUGUGUAGGGAAGGAGAGAGACCUAGCUAUGUAUUGAGGGAGAUCGAUCGACAUCCAUGGAUAUGUGUAGCAGAGGAAUAAGGUUGGGAAAAAGACAAAGGUAGAGCGUCGGAGGGUUGGUGGUGGAGUGGCAUUUCACAAAUGGUGGGAGAGGCUUGCUAGACAAAUGGAGGGUAUGAGUGCAAUAUCAAUAAGAGAGGGUGGGGGAUGUCUGUCUGUCUAUGCAUGUGCGUGUGAGAGACAGGUCGGGAGGUAUUCAAGGAUGAUGAGGGGAGAAGAUAUGGUUGUGGUAAGCAUGCGUAACUACAUAGGAAGAUCAACCGUCGUGUGUCCGAGAAAAGGAGAGACAUAACUAGCGAGGUAAGUGUAUCGGUGCUUGGUGAAAAUGAAUUAUAGUCGACCUGGAUAUAUGUAGGGAGAUCAGUUCAUAUACACGCCUGCAUGUGUUAGAAGCAAAUAAGGUCCGAAGAGGCAGACAGGGGGAGAGGGUGUGGCUAGGAGGUGGUGCGAGAGGACUACCAUGUCGAGGGGGGAGGAGUGUGCGAGCAUGUGAUUAAUGAAAAGAGGGGCGGGAGUGUGCACCUGCGUGGAAUCGUAUUGGACAUAUGGGGGCAUGGACGGUGAGAAGAGAAGAGGGGAAGUAUAUAUGUGUUUGUUGUAGGCACACUUGGCUAGAGAGGUAUAUCGACCGAUGUGUGCCAGAAAGAAGGAGCCGGGGGCCUACACACACCGUUGGUGGACGACAUAAACAGAAAUAAUGAACGUGCGCGAUGGAGAGGACGCUAAGGGUGUGGGGGGGCGGGCGUGUGCAUGCACGAUAGAAAGUUAGCGCUAGCUAGCUACAAAUACAAGAGGAUCGUGAAGGUGUAAAAGACGAACAAAGAUCAUAAUUCAUUAUAAAAAGGUGGAUACGGAUACUUGAAGAAGAUAUCAUAAUGUAUAACAUUAAUUAUAAUUUGAGCUAAUGUGUGGCUUUUGUAACUCAGGUCUAAAUACUUGUCAUAGUAGGGGGCGGGGCACUAUACUUUGUGUGAUAAACACGGUGUACGUAUGGACACAUGGUUUAGAUUAUGAAUAUAUAGUUAGUACAUCAAAUGUACUAUUAUUUGGAAUCAACAUCAAGUGUAUUCAAAAAAUAGAAUUCGAGUUCAUGUAGUACACAUAGUUCAUAUCUUUUUCUAUAGUAAUCGUGUGAUGUGUUAUUAAGGUAAUACACGAAUGAUGGUUGAAGUUGGCAACAAUCAUGAUUGUAGAUUCUUAUUGAAAUAGUGAUGCGGGACGCCUCGGAAACGAUCUUUCACGGUGCCAAAGAACUCACAAGGAGCAGCAACAAACUCACUCGAUACUUGUUUCAACAAACUUUGUUUCUCUCAAGUGGCAAGAACAAGAGGAAACACUCUCAGAUAAAUUGCAGCGGAUAACUAGCUGGGUUUACAAGGAUGCAACCCAAACCAUGAAGCUUGUGAACCUAUGAAGAAUCACAAGAGGAAACCACAAGGAUCCUAUAUGAAUUGAGGACAGGCCCUCCAAUCCACACACAUGAGCUAACACUCAACGAUACUAGUGCUCACAGUACAAUACAACCUCACCGGCUGUCUACAAACAUAAACUCAGAAAUCUCACCACCCCCCCCCCCCUCACAUGGAACGGCUGAGGAGUAUUUAUACUAGAAGCACCCACUAGUUAGGUGUGAAAACAACUCAAAAAGAAGGGUAAAUUCGUGAGCCCCAAGCUGUAGCAGGAGCAAACUUGUUGAGCCUCGCGCUAUAAUAAAUUCCUGGACAGCUUGCAUGGAAACUUGCACAACUUUUGACUCAAGACCUCAAAUGAUGCACCGUUUUUUUUUGAAUGAAAGCUGACUUCUAAGACCAUCUUUUCCAGCCUCUAUAAAGUGCUAGAGACCUCCAGAAUUAAUUAGGUUUUGGUGGGAAGUUGCUGCUGGAAAUCUAAUGUGUCCUUUCUCCCAAAAUAGGCACCGAAAGCUUCCCAACUAAGAUAAUGGUUUUGCCCUUAUCUUCCUUUGGAUGCUCUAAUGGUUCAGCAUUUGUGCUAGCAUUAACCUCACUCUUGGAUGCCUUGGUCAUGAUCUGGUCCACAUCAUCCUCCCUUCCUUCAAACAAAACCGUCCUUGAUUUUGAGGUAUUCUUUUUGGGCUUCUUCACUAGUGGGAAUUGCUCAACCUUGAGUACUUGAUCCAUCAUAGGUUCCAAGACAUGGUUCACUCCUUGAUGCAUGAAAGAAUACUUGUUAGACCUCCCAUGGUGAGUAGCAUCAUGAUCAAACUGCCACGGUCUUCCCAAAAGAAGAUGACAAGCUCGCAUUGGCACCACAUCACAUACCACUUUGUCCACAUAACUUCCCACUAAAAAUUGCACCCUCGCACGAUGCGUAAUCUUCAUAUUCUCAACACCAUUCAGACACUUCACAUAAUAUGGAUGGGGCUGCCUCCAUGUUGGCAUCCCAAGAGCAUGCACAAGAUCACUACUAAUGAUGUUGUUGUAGCUGCCUCCAUCGAUGACCACCUUGCAGUUUUUGUCCUUGAUCUUGCAAAUGGAUUGGAACACAUUUUGUCGCUGGCCCUUCUCCAUAAUAGGAGCAUCAUCAUGAGCCACUUUGCGAACCAUGAGAUUAACACCAUCUCCUCCAUCUAAACUCAGAGGUGCUCCAGUCUCAAAAGUACAAUAAUCUGCAUCUUUCUUCUCAGAUUCAGAUUUGUCACUUGAGUCAUCAGUGACAUAUCCAUCAUUUGUGAGUAAAACCUUCUUCAGAUUAGGACAAUCCUUCUUGAAGUGACCUCUACCCUUGCAUGUAUGGCACUGAAUAUUACUAAUGCGAGUGGCAGGAGUAUUGGAAGAUUCAACCUUUGAUGCAUUAGCUUCCUUUGUAGUCAUCUUGUUGUGUGAGCGAAAAUCUGCAGCGACACUUCCGUCUACUUCUCGCCGAGCUGAACCUCUCCAAGUGCUUGAUGUAUAGGUUUGGCUGCGAUUUUGGCGGCACUUCAGCUACUGCUCUACACAAAUAGCUUGAUGCACAAGUUCUUGCAAAUCUUGAUAUGUAACCAUCUCUAUCCUUUCUUGCACAUCUUCAUUCAGUCCAUGAAAGAAUCUUGACAUUGUGGCCUCCUCUGGCUCAUUUACCGCUGUCCUAAUCAUCAAAAUCUCCAUCUCUUUAUAGUACUCAUCAACACUAGAAUUACCUUGGCACAACCGUUGGAGUCGAUUGUACAAGGUUCUUGUGAAAUGUUCAGGAACAAACCAUCUCCGCAACAGAUUUUUCAUUUGCACCCAUGUCUCCGGACGACCUCCAGCACGACACAAUUGGUUCCACCAAAUCAAAGCAUAUCCAGUAAACUCAAUGGAUGCAUAUCGUACCUUCUUCUCCUCCGUAUAGCGGUGGCUGUCAAAAAUCUGAUCCACACGCAUCUCCCACUCCAAAUAAUCAUCGGGCUCGGUUUUCCCAUUGAAUGAUGGUAUGGUAAGUUUGAAUUUACCAAUCCCAUCAUCUUCAUGGUCACGAUGAGCACGCCCAUGACCUCUUCCUCCCACGGCAAAGCCUUCUUGGCCUUCUCCGCGACGAUCAUGAUGAACACGUUAGGGUCGAGGCUCGUAGUAGUUUCGAGCAUCAUCGGAGUGGUCGCUCCAAUGCUCUCCAUGGUGGUCCUGCUGUAUGGGGAGUUGUCGAUGUCGACCCCGUGCCGCAAGCCCAUCUCGUGGUGGCGACGGUGGCGCCCAAGUAGCACCUCACUGGUCGUAGCGAGCACGCCGAGGUGGUGCAGCAUAGUAGCUAUGAGCAUCACCCGAGUAGACGUGGUUGUGCUCUCCAUGCUCCUCCUCAAGGUGGCGUUGGCCCUGCUGUUUGGGGAUUUGUCGAUGUCGACCCCGUGCAGCAAGCCUAUCUCGACGGAGUUCCUCGGUGAGGGAGUCGAUUCUCCGGCCAAGGUUGGUCUCCACGGCCGAUAUGCCCCUCUCCACCUUGUUCAACACAUACUCUCGUGUAUCCUCCAAUGCCAACACAUAGGCGGGCUGCAAGCUUGGAUCAUACACGGGAAGUGGCAGCUCCUCCUCCAUGAGGUGCCUACCUCCAUGCACACCAUCAACACUACUUGAUCUCCUCGAACCCAUGGAAGCUUCUCAAGAACAAAAUCAGCAAGAGAGAAAAUAGCACCGCGAACAACCUAAAGCUCUGAUACCAAGAUGAUGCGGGACGCCUCAGAAACGAUCUUUCACGGUGCCAAAGAACUGACAAGGAGCAGCAACAAACUCACUCAAUACUUGUUUCAACAAACUUUGUUUCUCUCAAAUGGCAAGAACAAGAGGAAAGACUCUUAGAUAAAUUGCAGCGGAUAACUAGUUGGGUUUACAAGGAUGCAACCCAAACCAUGAAGCUUGUGAACCUAUGAAGAAUCACAAGAGGGAACCACAAGGAUCCUACAUGAAUUGAGGACCGGCCCUACAAUCCACACACAUGAGCUAACACUCAAUGAUACUAGUGCUCACAGCACAACACAAGCUCACCGGCUGUCUACAAACAUAAACUCACUAAUCUCAUCCCCCCUCACAUGGAACAGCUGGGGAGUAUUUAUACUAGAAGCACCCACUAGUUAGGUGUGAAAACAACUCAAAAAGAAGGGUUAAUUCGUGAGCCCCAAGCUGUAGCAGGAGCAAACUUGUUGAGCCUCACGCUGUAAUAAGUUCCUGGACAGCUUGCAUGGAAAUUUGCACAACUUUUGACUCAAGACCUCAAAUGAUGCACCGUUUUUUUGAAUGAAAGCUGACUUCUAAGACCAUCUUUUCCAGCCUAUAUAAAGUGCUAGAGACUUCCAUAAUUAAUUAGGUUUCGGUGGGAAGUUGCUGCUGGAAAUCUGAUGUGUCAUUUCUCCCAAAAUAGGCACCGGAAGCUUCCCAACUAAGAUAAUGGUUUUGCCCUUGCCUUGCUUUGGAUGCUCUAAUGGUUCAGCAUUUGUGCUAGCAUUAACCUCACUCUUGGAUGCCUUAGUCAUGAUCUGGUCUACAUCAUCCUCCCUUCCUUCAAACAAAACCGUCCUCAGUUUUGAGGUAUUCUUUUUGGGCUUCUGCACUAGUGAGAAUUGCUCAACCUUGAGUACUUGAUCCACCAUAGGUUCCAAGACAUGGUUCACUCCUUGAUGCAUGAAAGAAUACUUGUUAGACCUCCCAUGGUGAGUAGCAUCAUGAUCAAACUGCCACGGUCUUCCCAAAAGAAGAUGGCAAACUCGCAUUGGCACCACAUCACAUACCACUUUGUCCACAUAACUUCCCACUGAAAAUUGCACCCUCGCACGAUGUGUAAUCUUCAGCUUACCAACACCAUUCAGCCACUUCACAUAAUAUGGCUGGGGCUGCCUCCAUGUUGACAUCCCAAGAGCAUGCACAAGAUCACUACUAAUGAUGUUGUUGUAGCUGCCUCCAUCGAUGACCACCUUGCAGUUUUUGUCCUUGAUCUUGCAAAUGGAUUGGAACACAUUUUGUCGCUGGCCCUUCUCCAUAAUAGGAGCAUCAUCAUGAGCCACUUUGCGAACCAUGAUAUUAACACCAUCUCCUCCAUCUGAACUCGGAGGUGCUCCGGUCUCAAAAGUACAAUAAUCUGCAUCUUUCUUCUCAGAUUCAGAUUUGUCACUUGAGUCAUCGGUGACAUAUCCAUCAUUUGUGAGUAAAACCUUCUUCAGAUUAGGACAAUCCUUCUUGAAGUGACCUCUACCCUUGCAUGUAUGGCACUAAAUAUUACUAAUGCGAGUGGCAGGAAUAUUGGAAGAUUCAACCUUUGAUGCAUUAGCUUCCUUUGUAGUCAUCUUGUUGUGUGAGCGAAAAUCUGCAGCGACACUUCCUUCUACUUCUCGCUGAGCUAAACCUCUCCAAGUUCUUGAUGUAUAGGUUUGGCUGCGAUUUUGGCAGCGCUUCAGCUGCUGCUCUACACGAAUAGCUUGAUGCACAAGUUCUUGCAAAUCUUGAUAUGUAACCAUCUCUAUCCUUUCUUGCACAUCUUCAUUCAGUCCAUGAAAGAAUCUUGACAUUGUGGCCUCCUCUGGCUCAUUCACCGAUGUCCUAAUCACCAAAAUCUCCAUCUCUUUAUAGUACUCAUCAAUACUAGAAUUACCUUGGCACAACCAUUGGAGUCGAUUGUACAAGGUUCUUGUGAAAUGUUCGGGAACAAACCGUCUCCGCAAUAGAUUUUUCAUUUGCACCCAUGUCUCCGGACGACCUCCAGCACAACACAAUUGGUUCCACCAAAUCAAAGCAUAUCCAGUAAACUCAAUGGAUGCAUAUCGUACCUUCUUCUCCUCCGUAUAGCGGUGGCUAUCAAAAAUCUGAUCCACACGCAUCUCCCACUCCAAAUAAUCAUCGGGCUUGGUUUUCCCAUUGAACGAUGGUAUGGUAAGUUUGAAUUUACCAAUCCCAUCAUCUUCAUGGUCACGAUUAGCAUGCCCAUGACCUCUUCCUCCCACGGCAAAGCCUUCUUGGCCUUCUCUGCGACGAUCAUGAUGAACACGUCGGGGUCGAGGCUCGUAGUAGUUUCGAGCAUCGUCGGAGUGGUCGCUCCAAUGCUCUCCAUGGUGGUCCUGCUGUAUGGGGAGUUGUCGAUGUCGACCCCGUGCCGCAAGCCCAUCUCGUGGUGGCGACGGUGGCGCCCAAGUAGCACCUCGCUGGUCGUAGUGAGCACGCCGAGGUGGUGCAGCGUAGUAGCUAUGAGCAUCACCCGAGUAGACGUGGUUGUGCUCUCCAUGCUCCUCCUCAAGGUGGCGUUGGCCCUGCUGUUCGGGUAUUUGUCAAUGUCGACCCCGUGCAGCAAGCCUAUCUCGACGCAGUUCCCCGGUGAGGGAGUCGAUUCUCCGGCCAAGGUUGGUCUCCACGGCUGAUAUGCGCCUCUCCACCUUGUUCAACACAUACUCUCGUGUAUCCUCCAAUGCCAACACAUAGGCGGGCUCCAAGCUUGGAUCAGACACGGGAAGUGGCAGCUCCUCCUCCAUGAGGUGCCUACCUCCAUGCACACCAUCAACACUGCUGGAUCUCCUCGAACCCAUGGAAGCUUCUCAAGAACAAAAUCAGCAAGAGAGAAAAUAGCACCACGAACAACCUAAAGCUUUGAUACCAAGAUGAUGCGGGACGCCUCGGAAACAAUCUUUCACGGUGCCAAAGAACUGACAAGGAGCAGCAACAAACUCACUCGAUACUUGUUUCAACAAACUUUGUUUCUCUCAAGUGGCAAGAACAAGAGGAAAGACUCUUAGAUAAAUUGCAGCGGAUAACUAGCUGGGUUUACAAGGAUGCAACCCAAACCAUGAAGCUUGUGAACCUAUGAAGAAUCACAAGAGGGAACCACAAGGAUCCUAUAUGAAUUGAGGACAGGCCCUCCAAUCCACACACAUGAGCUAACACUCAACGAUACUAGUGCUCACAACACAACACAACCUCACCGGCUAUCUACAAACAUAAACUCAGAAAUCUCAUCCCCCCUCACAUGGAACAGCUGGGGAGUAUUUAUACUAGAAGCACCCACUAGUUAGGUGUGAAAACAACUCAAAAAGAAGGGUAAAUUAGUGAGCCCCAAGCUGUAGCAGGAGCAAACUUGUUGAGCCUCGCGCUGUAAUAAAUUCUUGGACAACUUGCAUGGAAACUUGCACAACUUUUGACUCAAGACAUCAAAUGAUGCACCAUUUUUUUUGAAUGAAAGCUGACUUCUAAGACCAUCUUUUCCAGCCUAUAUAAAGUGCUAGAGACUUCCAGAAUUAAUUAGGUUUCGGUGGGAAGUUGCUGCUGGAAAUCUGAUGUGUCAUUUCUCCCAAAAUAGGCACCGGAAGCUUCCCAACUAAGAUAAUGGUUUUUCCCUUGUCUUCCUUUGGAUGCUAUAAUGGUUCAGCAUUUGUGCUAGCAUUAACCUCACUCUUGGAUGCCUUGGUCGUGAUCUGGUCCACUUCAAAUAGAGAAACGAAUUCAAAUUUAGUUCAAAUUGCAGUGGUAGUAUAGACAUUUGGAAUGCACUAAAAUGUUGGUAUGAGUAGGUUACAUUCAUUAUACAGCAAGCGAAAAAAAUUAAUCGGACAUAACAUGGAUUCAUACUCCCUCCUUCCAUCUAUAUAGCGCGUAAUGAGAUUUUUAAGACCGCCUUUGACUAUUGACAAGAUUAAUAGUACAUGACAUGCACAAUGUGAAAAUUAUAUCAUUGAAAGAACCUUUCACAGACGAAGUUAACGGUGUUCUUUGUGUAAGUUGCAUGUCAUAUAUCAUUGCUCUAAUAUUUGGUCAAAUUUAGCAUCGAAAAAUGCAUUAGGCCCUAUAUAGAUGGAAGGAGGGAGUAGCUUUGAAUAGCAUUUGUAUAGUAAAACGGGGCAAGACUCUCUCUCUCUUUGUGUGGUGUGAAUAGUUUUAUUUUUUUCGUUUUCUUUUUGGUUGAGGGAAGUGCGAAUUGAUUUGGUACGUACAAGUACAAUAUUACUACACGUUAGGCUUGUCCCUAAAAUUCAACCCGCGUCUUGUUAUAUCCUGAAAAUUCAGAUAUCGUGCUCCCAAAACUGGCACCUUCACAACCCGUGCCUUGCUAUCCCGAAAUUACAAUGCGCGCGAAAACUCCCUCCAGCUGCCAAAUCCUGACACGCGAAAUCCCCCUUCUAACCCUGAGCCGAAAGGGCCGCUAGUUCAAAUCGGUGGGGGGUACUUUUGUAACACACCCUACAUUCUGGACAAGCGCGUCCCUAAGUCAUGCUUCACCCCCUCCCAUCGCCCCCUUUUCGCCAAUCGAAAUCCCAGGCCGCCAUAACCUCUCCGCUCCAGCCGCGAAACCCCACCCUCCUCCAUCCGCCACGUCACCGCUGCCCAGCCGGAGCCUCUUCCCCGACGACGUCGUCCACUGCAACAGCUCGACGUCCCUCGUCCACCUCCCCGGAUGAGGAUCCGUCGUCCAUCUCGCCGUCCCGCCGGUUCAGCCGCCCCGUCCUCCACCUCCAAGGAGCUGCUCCGAUGAUCGCCUCAUCUAUCGCGGCUGCACCAUCCCCACAGCGCCGCCUUAACCUGCUCCACCGAAACCGCAGCAUCCUCACCGACUCCUCGGACGAAGCCGAGGCCUACUCGGCGCCACCAAAGAGGUUGUACACUCAUCGCAUCGCACCUUCUCCUUAACUCGACCGCCCGGCGCUGAUGGUGCUCCAUCCCACACCCCCAUGGAGCGGCUACCUUGAAGCCGGCGCCACGGGCGACAUCUCCAUGGCAGCUCUCCCCCAGUGCGAGGCCCCUUCGGCGGUGGCGGCCAUACCAGCCGGAUCUGCUGCUGCUGCUCUGGCUCUCGCUCACUCGCUCGCGCUGCUGCUGCUACUCCGGCUCUCACUCGAUCACUCACUCGCCCAGCUGCUGCUGCUGCUCUCCCCCUCGCUCGUACUACUGCUCUGCUCCGAUUAAGCCACACUUCAGUCGACUGAAUCGACUUUUGGGUCAGUCAAUUUUCAGGGGUUGGGGGGGCUCGCCGGAGUUAAGGAAGAACCACCCGCAGCGGGGACGGGGGCUCGCCGGAGAGGUGCCCCACUAUCUAUCUUAGGGUUCAGGGUGGGGGCGGGGGGCCUAGAGGGCUGGCCGGGGCGGCGGUGGCGAGUUGUUUCAGGGCGGCAAGGCGGCGCUGGGGCCGGCGGUUCGGCCGGUGGUGGCUGGCGGCUCAGGGGGGUGCAGGUUGAAGAUGAACUGCAGGCCCUCCCUAAACUACAUGUCAAGUGCCUCUCUGCUACCAUUGCGUUUAGUUUCGACAGUAGCAUUCAGAUUCCACAGUAAAUUUCAGUUUUGACAGUUAAGUUCAGAGUCAACAGUUUUUACCUCAUCUGUUGUAGUCAGGUGGUUUUUGGCGAUGUUCAUUUUACAUCCAUUUUACAUCAUCUAUUGGAGAUGCUAUUAGAAUCCCACUUGAUAUUGAUGAUGUCUGUCUUGUGCUGCUUCAGCCUUGACUCUUACAGCUCACCGGAGCUGCUCCAACGACAGAAUGAUCCAUCACAACAGAGCAGUGCCCUGGACGCCGUCUACAGAUUCCUCAGAUCUUCCUCCACACCUCCGACAGCCACCUCUGCCUCAACUGCUUCAGCGACCAAUACAAUGAUGUUGAGGUCAACACGGCUACGGCAAAGAGGUUGUACACUUGUUGCAUCACUUAUUACUAUACAUUCACGUCGAUCCAUUAGGGCUAUUUUGGUUCAACGGAAAAACAUAGCAAUAGGGAAUUUUCCAAUGGCACUCUACUAUUCAAUUAUUCAUGCAUUUUGUUGAAAGGAAUGAAGCAAAACAUCCACUUGGACCUACUUUUCAAAAUCCUACGCAUGAAAACAAGACCAAGUGCAUUAGUGCCAGAAUAACAUUCUAACUGUACACGCUUUCAUAUGGUUUCUCUUUAUUUUGGCCAUGUUUCUUUGCAUUCCUCUGCUCUUCCAAUUCCUGUAAACCAAACACCCAAGUUGACAGAAAUCUUGUGUUUACAAAUGCUCUGUUUACCAUGUGCAUUUUCCUAUCCUAUUCCGGUGUUUUUCCUAUCCCUGCGUUUUAAGAAUCAUGCAAGCCAAAUGAGCCCUUACAGAAUUACUUCAGUUACAGGUACGUGUCGAAGGGAACUUUGUGUGGUUUGUCCUGCUCCUACCGCGACGUCGUCCACCUCACCUGAGCUGCUCCAUCGACAGAAGCAUCCACCAAACCAGACAUCACGACUCCUGACCGUCUUUCGCCGCCUCAGAUCUCCUUCCCUAUCACCGGCACCCACCCCAACGGCAUCACCAUCAUCGACUCAGCAGAUGAACCUGAGGAGUACACAGGUCCACAAGAGAGGUCGCACUCUUUUGUUUCUGCUUAUGUUAUGCAUUGCUUAGACUUACCUGCUACGUUAUCGUCCUGUUCGGCUCUUGGACUCCCGACUCAAGUCCAAAUUAAUGUUCAAACUUGAGUUCUAAAUUAGUUGUGGGGCACAUAUCGAGGCAGCAAUGAAUAGUAUGUCUGUCUAAUAUCUGGUUCACCUAGGGUAUGCCUAUGUUGUUCAUCUUGGGUGGGAAACAAAUAGUAAAGCAAUCAUCAUCUGUCUUUUUAUUAAUUAAAGCAAUCAUCAGCCUGCUAUCAUUAUUUUUGGAUCCAUCCACUGGUUGUUACCAUCACUCUAAAUUUCUGCAUGCUCUCCUUACAUAAUCUCACCAUAUUUUUUCGUAUGCAUGUCAGAUAUUGUACACAGUCAUGCUGAACAUGUAGAGAAAAAUAGAAGAGUUUUGCGCGGCAAUAUAAUGUCAUGCAGACAUCGCUCCAUGGUGGGUUCAAUGGCAAACCCUCCCCACCCCUCUCCAGAUUGUAAUCCAGAGGAAGAUAUUUGUUCUGAGGCGGAUUCAGACGCCGCUGACCACUCCUAUUUACCCCCCAAGGUGUUUGCUCUACCUUGGCAUGAUGAUGUUAGUCAUAUCAUGCAUAUGUUGCCUUGCAAUGCCUACUUUUGACAUCAUAUAUGUCAUCUGCUUAGUUUAGACAUGUUCUGUAAUGCCACCUGUUUAGUUUCUAUAUCAUAUAUGGGAAUUAUGCAGUCUCAUGUCUUUUAGCCAGCCAUAAUAUAUGUGAAAUGUGCAAUGCCAUCCUGUUUAACUAGGCGUCAUAUAUUUGAAUGAUAUCUUGCCCAUCCUUUUCUUCAUUACAUUUCUAUUUGUCGACAAUGUUUGUACAUUAAACUACUCUUCCUGUGAAUCAGCCAUUUGGGUGGGAGAUGGAAAAAUCUGGAGUGAAAACAAGGCCUUCAUAGCAGACAGUGCUACCUGUCGAAGCAGAUCUCUUGUUGGGCCCCGAUAGCUCCUCAGAGAUGGAUUCAGAGACAGAUGACCAGUCCUAUUUCCCCACUGAGGUGUAUGCUCUAACUUGGCAUGGUUAUACUGCUCAUAUCAUGCAUACGGUGUCUUGCAUUGCAUAGUUUAGACAUCAUAUACACAAUAUUCAACACCAUGUUCUUAGUUCAUACAUCAUAUCGAAUGCCCUCUGUUUAGCAUAUAAAUCACAUAUGUGAAUUAAAUGAUGCAAUCCUGAUUACUUAGAUAACAUGUAGGUGAAUUAUGUCAUGCGAUCAUGUUUAGUUAUUCAUCAUAUCUUUGAAUUAUGUUAUGUUAUGCUAUCCAGUUUAGAUAGACAUCAUAUAUGUGAAAUUAUGUCAUGCUAUCCGUUUUUAGUUAAACAAUAUACAUGUCAACUAUUUCAUGCCCUCUUUUUUUCACACUAUGUAUUGCAUCUGUCUCUCAUAAAAUAUUUGUACAUUCAACUAUGUUUCCUGUUUAUCAGCCAUUUGAAUUGGAGCGGGAGAUGCCAGUAUCUAGCGGAAUAAAAACAUGGUCUUCAAAUAAAACAGUGCUACCUCUUGGUGGGGAUAGCACCCCGGUUGUACAUGCACAAGAACCAGCCCUACCACACAUAACCCAAACUCUCGCAGAUUGUACCCCUACUGCAAUGGACAGAGAACCAGCUUCACCCAAUCUAACCCCAACCCCAGCCGAUAGUAACCCAGUUCCUGUUGACACAGCACCAUCUCCACCAUAGAGCUCCCAAACAAGAGCAGUUAGUAAGGCAGCUCCAGUGCCCAAAGGGCCAGUACUAUCACGGCGAACCCCAACUCCACCAGUUAGUACGUCUAUUCCUGUGGAGGAAGCACAACCAGCCAGUCAUAGUUUAUCAGCUAUUGCAUUUGAUGUUGUUAAAUCGUAUGUGCGUAUCUUCCCAUCUUGGAAAUAUUAUACUGAAGAUGAAGGAAAAUCUCAAUUGCAGGUGUUUGUCCAGGACUUAUGUGUAAGUAAUGUUAUUCAUGGCAAUUACUUUGCUUCGUCCCAUACAUCCUACCUCCAUGAUGGUUAUAAUACAACAAAUUUUCCCAUUUUUCUCUAUAGAGAAGGACUAAUUUGGAAACUCAAGAUGAGGUAACCUGUGCUAAUACCUCUGCUACCUUCAAGAAUGCUUGGUGGCGGUAUCGGAAUUACCUGAAGAAAACAUACUUUACCGGCAAAGAAACUCAUCAAAUUCCCUUACGUUCUUCUGAGACACAUUUACUAGACGAUGACUGGGAACGCCUUGUUCUGUACUGGUCCCGAACCAAGAAUGUGGUAAGGUCUAUGAGCUCAUUUUCUAUUUUUAAGUAUUAUAUUCUUGCGUCUUACUGUACUCUGUUCAUGUAGAACAAGUGCCUAAACCUGAAGAACAAAUGUUCUAAUUUAAGAUUCCAUUGCUAUCAUAGUUCAAAAAAGCGCUAGGCGUUAAUUGUGCGUUUUGCCACCGCCUUGCACUUUACUGACCAAAGUGCAUGCUUAUGCGCAGUUAUGCACAGAUUAAGCGUAGUUAUGUGCAAUGCGUUUUGCCAACGCCUAGAGCCUAGGCGCGCUUAAGCGCUCGCUUAGGCGCGCCUUUUUUAACUAUGAUUGCUUUGCUCUUGUAUCACUGCAUUUACUGAUACAAACUUAUUUUUAAAUUGAAGGAUCCAAUCGAAACUCCAAUGGCACAACAGGUAUGUUCACGCAUGUUUCUUUAACAGGUUUGCUCUUAUCAAUAGCUCUUUUGAUUUCAAUUUCAACUGUGUAUACAGUUGACUUUCAUAUCAUGCACAUUACUAGCAUCACAACAGAGCCAAUAGUGUUGUUGUACAUGUAGACCCGUGGUACCCAUCUGAAAUCUUGUUGUGCCAUGUAGUUUCCCACGCUUUGUAUUCUUUCACUUCUGCUUUAUCUUGAACUGAUAUGAUUUGAACCGUGUCUCUAUUUUGAUUUGGCAAGACAAUGCAGUGACCAUAGGACAUAGAUAUAUGUUUGUUUGAUGCUUUUAUUAUGUACUAGUACUUGGCAAUAGAAGACUUGGUAGUUCAAUCCUGUCCACCUUACUAAUGAACUGGUUCACCGAAAUGAGUUUCAUAUACUAGUACAUGCUAAACUUGUUAUGUGUCUGCUUGUUUCUUCUUUUAGAAUGCUGACAGAAUAUUGGGGAAGAGUGCCUUAUUAAGCAAUGGUAAAGGAAGUAAUGCAGAUAAGGUUUAGGAUAGUGACACAUCCUUGUUGGUCUCCAACAAAGCUGAUAAAACAGCUAAGGAAGACUAUCUUGAAGACAGCGAGACAACCCCAAAGUCCUGUCUUGGUUUAGUGUUCGAGUUACUGGCCACUACCGCUUGCACAAGCUAUUCAAACUCACUGUCUGAAUCAGUUCGGUUUCUUGAGUCUCAACUACAAACUGAAAGACAUCGAUCAGCUGUGCUGCGACAAGAAGCGGAAGGACUGCGGAAGUCCCUGGAGCAUUCAGAUGCAUACUUUCUGGUGCAACAGCAAGCGUUGGAGGAUUUUAGCGCCAAACAGGACAAAGCUAAUCAGCUUACUAAGCUUAUUGCCAGCAUGGUGGAUACCCAGGAUAAUGUUUCUUGAGCUCUUCUGAAGUUGUUUCAGUUAUGCUCUUGUUUUGCUGCCGCGUUUAUUUGCACUGGUGGCCAAUUUUGACGGCCAGUGUAUGUAAUAUGCUGCUUUGUUCCCUAUAUUUGCACUGGUGGCAAACUUUGAUGCCCAGUGGAUGUAAUAUGUGUAAUAGCGGUAAUAGGCUAGCCUUAAUUGCUUGCUUAUUUAUUUCCUUAUUGUCUUGUUUAGUUGUUUGCUUGUAGUCACUGCAGUUCUUUUUCUGUGUUUUUCUAGUGGCCAAAAUAGCCUAUUUUUGGUAAUUAGGCCAAAAUAAUCAUGGCAACACACGGACUGUUGUAACCAUGGGCCUCCUGCAGGCCAUAUGAUCCAUGGGCCUUUGUUCGGCCAUAGGACCAUUGGCCUUCUAUACGGGCCGUUGGAUCCAUCGGCCUUCUAUACGGGCCUUAGGGAUCAAUGGGCCUUCUACGGGUCGUAGGGUCCAUGGGCCUUCUACGGGCCGUACAAUCCAUGGGCCUUCUACGGGCCGUACUAUCCAUGGGCCUUCUACGGGGCGUAUCAUCAUUUCGCCAAUCAUGGGCCGUACUAUUCGUGGACCAUAAUGGGCCAUUAAUAGGCCGUAUUUGAUAACUCUAUGAAAAUAGCCCAACGGGUUUUUUUGACAUGAAAACGGCCCAACGUAUUAACGGUCCGCAAACGGGCCGACUGUAACGACGGGCUGAAUUUGGCCCACAAGCAGAAAAUGACAGUAACGGGCCGUAUGUAACCGAAUGCUGCAAGUGAGCCCAAGAAUCAAUGGGCCCUGAGAAGGCCAAAAGAUAACUUGGGCUGGAAACGGCCCAAUGAAAUAACGGGCCAUUAAUGGGUAUAAAGUGAUACACUGUUCAUUACGGGCCAGUUUCACCACGGGCCGUUAAUGGGCCAAGAGUUACAAAGGUCCUCAUAUGGGCCGAAAGAAGUCAUGGGCCACACAUGGGCCGGAAGUUAAAACGGGCUGAAUUAUAUUGGACGGCCCAGAUGAUGCUACUGGGCCUAAUUCGGAUAGGGCAUAACGGGCCCUGGGUUAGCGGGCUGUAAAUGGGUUAUAUGCGAACAGGCCGUUAACAGACUUUCUGUGGGCCGGCCCGCCACCUUUUGACCAAGUCAAACGGGCCGGCCUUUUCAUAGGAAUGGGCCUCUAUUGGGCCAUUCCACGUGUCGCUGUAUCAUAGACGCCUUCGGUCCAAUGAGCAGAUGACAUCUGUCCCAACGAUGAGCCGACAUGUGUUUCCUCCAGCCAAUGAUGAUUUUACAAGUGGAAAAUCCCCAUUGGUCGGGGCUGUUAACGGGUUAUCGGAUCCAAAACCUGACCCGAUAGCUUAACGGCGUUCCGUUACGGUGGAUGCCACGUGUCGGUCACCCUUGACGAAAGCACUUCUGUGACGCGCGAUUUAUCGUCAUGGAAGUGGACACUUCCGUGAUGAUAAUUUUGGUAAUGUCAUGGAACACUUCUACGACAGCACAGGUAUGACUAUCUUGAUUCUGUCAUAAAUUUGUCAUGGAUGUACAUGCAUGACAAAAAACGCGACCUACUGUGACAAACACGUAUCAUCACGGAAGUGUAUUUUUUUGUAGUGAAAGGUACCGAAAGGGCAAGUAAAAGUGGUCUUUUCUUGAUCCUCUUUUGACACGGGUAUUUGAGAGAAACCAGAGUAACCAUCUAGAAAGCAAAAAUGUGUAUGCUUGGAUAAUCUUUCUAGCAUUUGAUCAAUAAAAGGCAAAGGGUAAUGAUCCUUUUUAGUAGCUUUAUUUAAUUUUCGGAAAUCAAUUACCAUCCUAUAACCUGUAACAAUUCUUUGUGGGAUCAAUUCAUCUUUAACAUUAGGAACGACAGUAAUGCCUCCCUUCUUAGGGACACAAUGGACAGGACUUACCCACUGACUAUCAGCAACAGGAUAAAUUAUACCUGCCUCCAGAAGCUUUAGUAUUUAUUUUCUUACCACCUCUUUCAUCUUAGGAUUUAACCGCCGUUGGUGAUCAACAACUGGUUUAGCGACUUUCUCCAAUUUUAUUUUGUGUUGACAUAGAGUGGGACUAAUGCCCUUAAGAUCAUCAAGAGUAUAUCCAAUAGCAGCACGGUGCUUCUUCAGAGUUUUCAAUAAUUUCUCCUCUUCCUGCUCUGAAAGGUUAGCACUAAUAAUAACAGGAUAUAUCCUCUUUUCAUCAAGAUAAGCAUAUUUAAGAGUAUCAGGUAGUGGUUUAAGCUCAAACACGGGAUCACCCUUGGGUGGUGGAGGAUCCCCUAGAAUUUCAACAGGCAAGUUGUGUUUCAAAAUAGGUCCCUGUUUAAAGAAUACUUCAUCUAUCUCCCUUCUUUCAUUCAUAAACAUAUCAUUUUCAUGGUCUAGCAAAUAUUGUUCUAAAGGAUCAUUAGGAGGCACGGCAAUAGAAGCAAGACCAAUAAUUUCAUCCUUACUAGGCAAUUCUUUAUCAUGGGGUUGUCUACAAAAUUUAGCAAAAUUAAAGUCAUGAGACAUAUCCCCUAAACCGAUCGUAACAAUAUCCUUUUUGCAAUCUAUCCUAGCAUUAACAGUAUUCAAGAAGGGUCUACCAAAUAUGAUGGGACAAAAGCUAUCUUGUGGGAACCAAGAACAAGAAAAUCAGUAGGAUAUUUAACUUUCCCACACAAGACUUCAACAUCUCUAACAAUCCCAGCUGGUGAAAUAGUAUCUCUAUUGGCAAGCUUAAUUGUAACAUCAAUUUCUUCUAUCUCAGCAGGUGCAAUAUCAUGCAUAAUUUCUUUGUAUAAGGAAUGAGGUAUUGCACUUGCACCAGCACCCAUAUCACAUAAGCCAUGAUAACAAUGAUCUCCUAUUUUAACAGAAAUAACAGGCAUGCCUACAACAGGUCUAUGUUUAUUCUUAGUAUCUGGUCUAGCAAUUGUAGCAGCUUCAUCACAGAAGUAAAUAACAUGCCCAUCAAUAUUAUCAGCCAAGAGAUAUUUAACCAUAGCAAUACUAGGUUCAACUUUAAUUUGCUCAGGUGGUGUAGGUGUUCUAGUAUUACUCCUAUGAACCAUAGUUGAAGCUUUAGCAUGAUCCUUUAUCCUAACAGGGAAAGGUGGUUUCUCAAUAUAGGUAGUAGGAACAAUAGGAUCAUUAUAAGUGAUAGUCUUUUCUUUAACUUUAAUAGGUGCAACUACUUUUACUUCAAUGGGAGGAUUAUAUUUAAACAACUUCUCCUUAGGGAGGUCAACAUGAGUAGCAAAUGAUUCACAGAAAGAAGCUACUAUCUCAAAGUCAAGUCCAUAUUUAGUGCUAAAUUCACGAAAAGCAUCGGUAUCCAUAAAAGAUUUAACACAAUCAAACUUAGGUGUUAUACCUGACUCCUUACCUUUGUCGAGAUCCCAAUCUUCAUAGUUGCGUUUAAUUCUUUCCAAUAAAUCCCAUCUGAAUUCAAUAGUCUUCAUCAUAAAAGAUCCAGUACAAGAAGUAUCGAGCAUGGAGCGAUUGUUGAGAGAAAGCCGAGCAUAAAAUUUUUGAAUAAUAAUGUCACUUAAGAGCUCAUGAUUGGGGCAUGAAUAUAACAUUGACUUAAGCCUCCCCCAAGCUUGAGCAAUGCUUUCUCCUUCACGAGGCCAAAAAUUACAUAUAUAAUUACGAUCACGAUGAACAAGAUGCAUAGGAUAAAACUUCUGAUGAAAUUCCAAUUUCAAUCAGUUGUAGUUCCAUGAUCUCAUAUCAUCACAUAGCCUAAACCAUGUCAAUGCCUUUCCCUUCAAUGAUAAAGGGAAUACCUUCUUCUUGAUAACAUCCUCGGGCAUACCUGCAAGCUUAAAUAAUCCACAAACUUCAUCCACAUAGAUUAGGUGCAAAUCAGGAUGCAAUGUUCCAUCUCCUGUAAAAGGAUUAGCUAGCAGUUUCUCUACAAUACCCGAAGGAAUUUUAAAGUAAACAUUUUCAGUAGGUUCAGUAGGUUGAGGAGCAACUCUUUGCUCUACUGGUUGGGGCGAAGAUACCCCAAACAAGCCCCUCAAAGGAUUAUGUUCCAUAGUAACAAGUGACAUUAAAUUUCAGCACACUAUAUAAAAUUUUCCUUACCAAAAGCGCUUCACUCCUCGACAACGGCACCAGAAAAGAGUCUUGAUGACCCACAAGUGUAGGGGAUCUAUCGUAGUCCUUUCGAUAAGUAAGAGUGUCGAACCCAACGAGGAGUAGAAGGAAAUGACAAGCGGUUUUUAGUAAGGAAUUCUCUGCAAGCACUGAAAUUAUCGGUAACAGAUAGUUUUGUGAUAAGGUAAUUUGUAACGGGUAACAAGUAAUGAAAGUAAAUUAGCUGCAGCAAGAUGGCCCAAUCCUUUUUGUAGCAAAGGACAAGCCUGGACAAGUUCUUAUAUAGAGAAAAGCGCUCCCGAGGACACAUGGGAAUUAUCGUCAAGCUAGUUUUCAUCACGCUCAUAUGAUUCACAUUCGUUACUUUGACAAUUCGGUAUGUGGGUGGACCGGUGCUUGGGUAUUUACCUUUCUUGGACAAGCAUCCCACUUAUGAUUAACCCCUAUUGCAAGCAUCCGCAACUACAAAAGAAGUAUUAAGGUAAACCUAACCAUAGCAUGAAACAUAUGGAUCCAAAUCAUCCCCUUACGAAGCAACUCAUAAACUAGGGUUUAAGCUUCUGUCACUCUAGCAACCCAUCAUCUACUUAUUACUUCCCAACUCCUUCCUCUAGGCCCAAACAAUGGUGAAGUGUCAUGUAGUCGACGUUCACAUAACACCCCUAGAGGAAAGACAACAUACAUCUCAUCAAAAUAUCAAACGAAUACCAAAUUCACAUGACUACUUAUAGCAAGACUUAUCCCAUGUCCUCAGGAACAAACAUAACUACUCACAAAUCAUAUUCAUGUUCAUAAUCAGAUGGGUAUUAAUAUGCAUUAAGGAUCUGAACAUAUGAUCUUCCACCGAAUAUACCAACUAGCAUCAACUACAAGGAGUAAUCAACACUACUAGCAACCCACAUGUACCAAUCUGAGGUUUUGGGACAAAGAUUGGAUACAAGAGAUGAACUAGGGUUUGAGAGGAGAUGGUGCUGGUGAAGAUGUUGAUGGAGAUUGACCCCCUCCCAAUGAGAGGUUCAAUGGUGAUGACGAUGAUGAUGAUUUCCCCCUCCCGGAGGGAUAUUUCCCUAACAGAAUAGCUCCGCCGGAGCCCUGGAUUGCUUCCGCCAAGGUUCCACCUCAUGGCAGCGGUGUUUCGUCCCGAAAGCUUGCUUAUGAUUUUUUCCAGGGUAAAAGACUUCAUAUAGCCAAAGAUGGGCACCGGAGGCCUGCCAGGUGGCCCACGAGGCAGGGGGCGCGCCCCCCACCCUUGUGGACGGUGGGUGGUCCCCCUCUGGUAUUUCUACGCUGAGUAUUUUUUAUUAAUUCCAAAAAUAACUUCCGUGGAGUUUUAGGACUUUUGGAGUUGUGCAGAAUAGGUCUCUAAUAUUUGCUCCUUUUCCAGCCCAGAAUUCCAGCUGUCGGCAUUCUCCUUCGUGUAAACCUUGUAAAAUAAGAGAUAAAAGGCAUAAGUAUUGUGACAUAGCGUGUAAUAACAGCCCAUAAUGCAAUAAAUACCGAUAUAAAAGCAUGAUGCAAAAUGGAUGUAUCAGAUCCUAUCUCAUAUUCCAUGGCCUCAAGCCAUCUGUCAGAAUUUGGGCUCAUCAUAGCUUCUUCAUAGUUUGUAGGUUCGCGUUGGUCUAGUAACAUGACUUCCAGAACAGGAUUACCGUCCCACUCUGGUGCGGAUCGUGCUCUGGUUGACCUACGAAGUUCAGUAGUAACUUGAUCUGAAGUUUCAUGAUCAUCAUCAUUAACUUCCUCUCUAGUUGGUGUAGGCAUCACGGGAAUGGUUUUCUGUGAUGAGCUACUUUCCAAUUCGAGAGAAGGUACAUUUACCUCAUCAAGUUCUACUUUCCUCCCACUCACUUCUUUCGAGAUAAACUCCUUCUCUAGACAAGACCCAAACUUAGUAACAAAGAUCUUGCCUUCGGAUCUGUGGUAGAAGGUGUACCCAAUAGUUUCUUUAGGGUAUCCUAUGAAGACGCGCUUAUCCGAUUUGGGUUCGAGCUUAUCUGUUGAAGCCUUUGGACAUAAGCAUCACAUCCCCAAACUUUAAGAAACGACAGCUUAGGUUUCUUGCCAAACCACAGUUCAUACGGUGUCGUAUCAACGGAUUUAGACGGUGUCCUAUUUAACGUGAAUGCAACUGUCUCUAAUGCAUAACCCCAAAACGAUAGUGGUAAAUCGGUAAGAAACAUCAUAGAACACACCAUAUCUAAUAAAGUACGGCUAUGACGUUCGGACACACCAUUACGCUAUGGUGUUCCAGGUGGCGUGAGUUGUGAAAUAAUUCCACAUUGUUUUAAAUGAAGGCCAAACUCGUAACUCAAAUAUUCACCUCCGCGAUUAGAUCGUAGAAACUUUAUUUUCUUGUUAUGAUGAUUCUCCACCUUACUCUGAAUUUUUUUGAACUUUUCAAAUGUUUCAGACUUGUGUUUCAUCAAGUAGAUAUACCCACUGCUCAAAUCAUCUGUGAAGGUCAGAAAAUAAUGAUACCUGUCACGUGCUUCAAUACUCAUCAGACCGCAUACAUCGGUAUGUAUUAUUUCCAAUUAGUCAUUAGUUCACUCCAUUGUUCCGGAGAACGGAUUUUUAGUCAUCUUGCCCAUAAGGCAUGGUUCACAAGCAUCAAAUGAUUCAUAAUCAAGUGAUUCCAAAAGCCCAUAUGCAUGGCGUUUCUUCAUGUGUUUUACACCAAUAUGACCUAAAUGGCAGUGCCACAAGUAUGUUGCACUAUCAUUAUCAACUUUACAUCUUUUGGCAUCAAUAUUAUGAAUAUGUAUAUCACUACGAUCGAGAUUCAAUAAACCAUUUACAUUGGGUAUAUGACCAUAGAAGGUUUUAUUCAUGUAAACAGAACAACAAUUAUUCUCUGACUUAAAUGAAUAAUAGUAUUGUAAUAAACAUGAUCCAAUCAUAUCCAUGCUCAACGCAAACACCAAAUAACAUUUAUUUAGGUUCCACACUAAUCCUGAAGGUAGAGGGAGUAUGCGAUGGUGAUCUUAUCAACCUUGGAAUCACUUCCAACACACAUCGUCACUCGCCCUUAACUAGUCUAUGUUUAUUCUGCAACUCCUGUUUUGAGUUACUAAUCUUAGCAACUGAACCGGUAUCAAAUACCUAGGGGCUACUAUGAAUACUAGUAAGGUACACAUUAAUAACAUGUAUAUCAAAUAUACCUUUGUUCACUUUGCCAUCCUUCUUAUCCACCAAGUAUUUGGGGCAGUUCUGCUUCUAGUGAUCAUUUCCUUUGCAGUAGAGGCACUCAGUUUCAGGCUUGGGUCCAGCUUUGGGCUUCUUCAUGGGAGCGGCAACUUGCUUGCCAUUCUUCUUGAAGUUCCCUUUCUUUCCCUUGUCCUUUUUCUUGAAACUAGUGGUCUUGUUAACCAUCAACACUUGAUGCUCUUUUCUUGAUUUCUACCUUCGCCGAUUUCAGCAUCGCGAAGAGCUUGGGUAUCAUUUUCGUCAUCUCUUGCACAUUAUAGUUCAUCAUGAAGUUCUAGUAGCUUGGUGAUAGUGACUAGAGAACUUUGUCAAUCACUAUCUUAUCUGAAAGAUUAACUCCCACUUGAUUCAAGAGAUUAUAGUACCCAGACACUCUGAGCACAUGCUCACUGGUUGAGCUAUUCUCCUCCAUCUUGUAGGCAAAGUACUUGUUAGAGGUCUCAUACCUCUCGACACGGGCAUGAGUCUAAAAUACCAAUUUCAGCUCUUGGAACAUCUCAUAUGCUCUCUGGCAUUCAAAAACUUUUUUGAAGUCCCGGUUCUAAGCCGUAAAUCAUGGCGCACUAAACUAUUAAGUAGUCAUCAUAUCGAGCUUGCCAAAUGUUCACAACGUCUGCAUCUGCUCCUGCAAUAGGUCUGUCACCUAGCGGUGCAUCAAGGACAUAAUUCUUCUAUGCAGCAAUGACGAUAAUCAUCAUAUCACGAACCCAGUCUGCAUCAUUGCUACUAUCAUCUUUCAAUUUAUUUUUCUCUAGGAACAUAUCAAAAAUAAGGGAGCUAUAUCGCGAGCUAUUGAUCUACAACAUAGAUAUGCAAAACUAUGAAGACUAAGUUCAUGAUAAAUUAAGUUCAAUUAAUCAAAUUACUAAUGAACUCCCACUUAAAUAAAUAUACCUCAAGUUAUUCUAAGUGAUACGUGAUCCAAAUCAACUAACCCAUGUCUGAUCAUCACAUGAGAUGGGGUAGUCAUCAAUGGUGAACAUCUCUAUGUUGAUCAUAUCACUAUAUGACUCACAUUCGACCUUUCAUUCUCCAGUGUUCCGAGACCAUGUCUGUACAUGCUAGGCUCGUCAAGUUUAACCCAAGUAUUUUGCAUGUGCAAAACUGUCUUACACCUGUUGUAUGUGAACGUAGAGUCUAUCACACCCGAUCAUCACGUGGUUUCUCGAAACGACAAACUUUCGCAAUGGUGCGUACUCGGGGAGAAUGCUUAUAUCUUGAAAUUUAGUGAAGGGAUCAUCUUAUAAUGCUACCGUCGUACUGAGCAAAAUAAGAUGCAUAAAAGAUAAACAUCACAUGCAAUCAAAAUAUGUGACAUGAUAUGGUCAUCGUCAUCUCGUGCUUUUUAUCUCCAUCUCCAAAGCAUCGUCACCGUCUCGACACCUUGAUCUCCAUUGUUGCGUCGUGGUCGUCUCGCCAACUAUUGCUUCUACAACUAUCGCUAACGCAUAGUGAUAAAGUAAAGCAAUUAUAUGGCGUUUGUACUUCACACAAUGAAGAGACAACCAUAAGGCUCCUGCCGGUUGCCGAUAACUUACAAAACAUGAUCAUCUCAUACAAUAACCUUUAUCACAUCAUGUCUUGACCAUAUCACAUCACAAGAUGCCCUGUAAAAACAAGUUAGACGUCAUACUUUGUUGUUGCAAGUUUUACGUGGCUGCUACGGGCUUCUAGCAAGAACCAUUCUUACCUACGCAUAAAACCACAAUGGCGUUUCAUCAAGUUUGUUGUUUUAACCUUCUUCAAGGACCGGCCGCAGUCAAAUUCGAUUCAACUAAGGUAGGAGCAACAAACACCCACCAGCCACCUUUAUUGAAAACUAGUUGCAUGUCAGUCGGUGGAACUGGUCUCACGUGCGUGGAUAUGUAAGGUUGAUUCGGGCCGCUUCAUCCCACAAUACCGCCGAAUCAAAGUAAAACGUUGGUGGUAAGAAGUAUGACUAUCACCGCCCAUAACUCUUUGUGUUCUACUCAUGCAUAUCAUCUACGCAUAGACUUGGCUCUGAUGCCAUUGUUGGGGAACAUUGCAUGGAAAACAAACAAAAAAAUUAUGCACACGCAAGAUCUAUCCAUGGAGAUGCAUAGCAAAAAGAGGGGAGAUCAUCUUCAUACCCUUGAAGAUCGCAAAGCGGAAGCGUUUAUCAACGCGGUUGGUGUAGUCAUACACCUUCAUGAUCCAUCCCGAUCAAGUACCGAACGUACGGCACCUCCGCGUUCAGCACACGUUCAGCUCGAUAAAAUCCUCACCUUCUUGAUCCAGCAAGACGGGCGAAGUAGUAGAUGAGUUCCGACAACACGACGGCGUGGUGACGGUGUUGGUGAAGAACAAUCUCCAUAGGGCUUCGCCAAGCACAACGGAAACUAUGAUGGAGGAUAAACUAGAGGGGGUGGGGUUGCCGGCACACGGCUUGGUGAUUCUUGAUGUGUCUUGGGUACUAGCCCUGCCCCUCUAUUUAUAUGUUGAGCCUUGGGGUCGAAACUUGGAGUAAAAGCCUCCUCAAAGUCGGUUUUACCCCAAAGGCAAGAAUCCUUCUCGGACUCCAGGACCAGACGCCAGGGUUCCCGGCAUUUGGACCCAGACGCCAGGGACCCUGGCGUCUGGCCCCUGGACUCCGCAAAACUUCCUUUUGCGCUUUCCAAAAACCUUGUGGGCUUUCCCCCUUUGGCCCAAAUAAAGUGUUCUUGUACCCAAACAUUUCGGGAAACAUCCCCUUCCGGUGAAUUCCGGAACCUUUCCGAAGACCAAACACUAUUAUCCCAUAUAUCAAUCUUUACCUCCAGACCAUUCCAGAGCUCCUCACCAUGUCCGUGAUCUCAUCCGGGACUCCAAACAACAUUCAGUGACCAACAUACAUAACUCAUAUAGUAUUAUAUCAUCAACGAACGUUAAGCGUGUGGACCCUACGAGUUCGAGAACUAUGUAGACAUGACCGAGACACCUCUCUGGUCAAUAACCAAUAACGGAACCUGGAUGCCCAUAUUGGCUCCUACAUAUUCUACGAAGAUCUUUAUCGGACGAACCUUAUGACAACAUACGUAAUUCCCUUUGUCCAUCGGUAUGUUACUUGCCCGAGAUUCGAUCGUCCGUAUCUCUAUACCUAGUUCAAUCUCGUUACCAGCAAGUCUCUUUACUCGUUCCAUAAUAAAUCACCUCGUAACUAACUCCUUAGUCAUUUGCUUACAAGCUUAUGAUGUGUAUUACCGAGAGGGCUCAGAGAUACCUCUCUAAUACUCGGAGUGACAAAUCCUAAUCUUGAUCUAUGCCAACUCAACAAACACCUUCGGAGAUACCUGUAGAGCAUCUUUAUGAUCACACAGUUAUGUUGUGAUGUUUGAUAGCACAUAAGGUAUUCCUCCGGUAUCCGGGAGUUGCAUAAUCUCAUCGAAGGAAUAUGUAUUUGACAUGAAGAAAGUAAUAGCAAUAAAAUGAACGAUCAUUAUGCUAAGUUAACGGAAGGGUCUUGUCCAUCACAUCAUUCUCCUAAUGAUGUGAUCCGUUAUCAAAUGACAACACAUGUCUAUGGUUAGGAAACCUUAACCAUCUUUGAUCAAGCGAGCUAGUCUAGUAGAGGCUUACUAGGGACACGGUAUUUGUUUAUGUAUUCACACAUGUAUUUAAGUUUCCGAUCAAUACAAUUGUAGCAUGAAUAAUAAACCUUUAUCAUGAAUAAGGAAAUAUAAAAUAACAACUUUAUUAUUGCCUCUAGGGCAUAUUUUCUUCAGAUUUAUCAUUAUUGACUACUUGAAUUGCUUGGUAAUGAAGAAAGAUGCCUACUGGAGGUGUUAGGAUUGAGUAGUGGUGUGUGUACAGCGGGGUGAGGGGGUGCCUAGAAGGGUGUAAGACAUAUUGGUCGUCCAUUUUCCUUGUACAACUCGAAAUACAUAUGUGUUUUUCACACAUGUCAUCAGCUCCUCAUACACAAAAUACGCACAAUUUGUAAAACAAACUAAGUACUAGCAGAAGACAUACGUUACAGUAGGGGAACCCAAAUUGAUCAUGGCAUAGUCAAUCCACUGAGCUUUUCUUGUUGCCAUUCAAUCUUCAUUAGAGAGAACAUUUGAUUUGAGACUUUCACAGCCUAUUGAGCCUCUCUACUACCUCUUUCAUUGUUGGUCGAUACUUAGGAGACUCCUCUGUGCAACUUUGUGCGAUGUCCAAGAAAGCUUUCACCUCCUUUGUUUCUUUUUCCCCUUCUAAACCCAUUCGAUGAUCCGCAAUCUCCGAGGAUAUGUCGGCCUCAACCUUUUCCCUUGCCCAUUUCAAUAGUUCUACCUCCUUACCUCUAAUGUUCUUCAUUGGCCAGCUUGGUCGUCGACCGGUCACUGUCUCCAUCAUUAGCACGCCAAAACUGUACACAUCUGCUUUCACGCUUGCUCCCACACCUUCACGUAUCUCUGGUGCCAUGUACCUUUGUGACAGUUGCAUAAACAUAAGAUCACAUAUAUCCUUUUUGAAGCACAAUAAUCCUAUCAAUGGUCUAAAAUAUGAGAAAUGUGGUGUUUGCUACUGAAAAGAAAGGCAUUGUAUACCGAACUAUGUGUGCGUUUAAGUUUUAAUCUACUAGUAGUACUCCCUCCGUCCCAUAAUGUAAAACGUUUUUUGACACUACACUAGUGUAAAAAAACGUCUUACAUUGUGGAACGGAGGGAGUAGUAUUUUGUUGUCUAAAAUUCAUUAAAUUGCACUACCGUAACUACAACAUACUCAACUUCACUGCAGUGAGCUUGUCUUCUAUGCAUAACUUUAAACCACUCCUUGUAUUUAUAUGUAAACAAAAUGCAAAACAUGCGACCACAAAAUAGUUAGAUAAUAAUUUUGGGUGUCCUAGAAAAACUUAGCUUGGCAGUUGUUACCGCUCCUGCGCCCAUAGAAACGAUGUUGGGCUACUUAAAUAUGAGUAAAAUUCAUUAGUCAUAUUGUUUUCCACAUAAAAAGAUGGCAGGACGAGGUGGGUCUACUGCAAACUCAGUUUAAACUAUGAAAAAUGACUCCCUUCGACCGACCGAUCUUGGACCAGUGUCCGCCGCCUCCAGGUCCGUUAGAUGGGCUCUUAAUCAGAUAGUCGGGAGCCAACUCCUGUAUCCACCUUCUGAAACUGAUCCAUUGUUUCAAAAAGGGUUCUGAAACUAGCCCCUUGUUGCAAACCGACCAGAGGCUAGAUUCAACAGCGCCCAUGUUAAAAAAAUCUGCAACAAGACUCAUGUUGCAAAAAAAAAUCUGCAACAUGUCCCAUGUUUCAAAAAAAAAAUCUCGCAACACAAACAUGUUGCAAAAAAGAGCACAACAUAACCUCCGUUGCAAAUAUUUCCGCAAAAAGACCUUUGUUGCAAGGUAGAGAAAGACGUUGCAUUGUGUCAUAUCUGAUAGCUCGCUAGGCGGCGGAUCUUUUAAACUAUGCCUCAUCCAACUUUUCACUAGUUUCAGUCGAAUUUCAUGUCGUCUGAUGCAUUCGUGCUCUAAAAGGUUUACGGGUGUGUUUGAAACUUGCAACACUGAAAACAUGCGCAAAAUGUAAACUCUUGAAGUGAAAUGAUUUGCAAGAAGGUCAGUGCAUUACCCCGCUGUGCCGGCGGCCUGCGUGCUGAGCUGCGACGCGGCAGGGCCGCCGGUGACGACCCUCGCAUGGCCGAAAUCGGCGAGCUUGGCCUCGAAUCCCUCGUCGAGUAGCACGUUGCUGGACUUGACGUCCCGGUGGAGCACGGGCGGGUGGCGGUCGUGGUGCAGGAAGGCGAGCGCGGCCGCUGCGCCGCGGGUGACGCGGAGGCGCGCGGGCCACGGGAGCAGGCCACCGGCCGAGGCGGCGUCGCCGUGCAGCCAGGCGUCAAGGCUGCCUCGCUCGAGGAGCUCGUAGACGAGGAGGCGGUCGCGCCCGGCGGCGCAGUAGCCAAGCAGGCGCGCGAGGUUGCGGUGGCUGAGGCUGCCGAGCACCUCCAGCUCGGCGCGGAACUCGCGGUUGCCGGCGCCGGCGGCGUGGUCCGCGGAGAGGCGCUUCACGGCAACCGCGGGUCCUCCGUCCGGGAGCACGGCGCGGUACACGAACCCGAAGCUGCCGUCGCCGAUGAUGUUGUCCGGGGAGAAUUCGCCGGUGGCCCUGGCGAGGUCGUCGAGCGAGAGCUUCUUGAGCGAGGAGUCGACGGCCGAUCCGUACAGCGACCACGACGAGGAGAGCUCCGACGAUAUUCCGACCGGGGCGGAGAUUGGGAGGGACGACGAUGACGAGCAGCGGUGGUCCGGCUCGAGGAGGCGGUUCUUGCGGUGGCGGCAGAGGAAGGCGAGGAGGAGGCAGGGUAAGGAGAUGCCUACGAAGGCAGCCACGGUCACGACCAGCGCUUGGUACACAGCUUCCAUGGCUGCAGGGCCGGGUAACUACGGAAGUGGGGAGGAAGAUGUGGGCUAUUGAUUCGUGAGAGUGAGAGGAAGAGGAAGAGUCGCCCGUGGAGUCAAGAACGUUCGGCGGAUUGCGGUUGACUAAUUCUCCUGGGAGGAAGACUUUGACUGCUGACUAACCAAUCUCCUCGUUCUCUUCUGCAGGCCGUGUAUAUUUACGCACAGGUAUAUUCUACAUUUGAUGCACUUGGUAAAAAAUACUUAAGGGGAAUCUGAUAUGAUGUCACAGUAUACUUUGUGUUCGACGGGCUUUUCGCUUCAGUUUCAACCGCAACAUGCGUCUGUCUUGUGCUUAGUUUGCGAUGGCUGGAAUCUGAACUUAUUUGCUACGUACACUGUACUUCUUGAUUCUUAACUUUGUAAGAAAUCAGGACGCAAUUCACACGGAGAGCGGCUAACCAAACAGUAAAACAGGUUCACGAGAUGAGACUAUUGUUUGUGUGAUCCCCCGCAUUACCAAACUCUCACCUUAAUCUCCCUUCUCUAAUUUCUCUGUCUAGCUCCAACAAGCGAAAGCAGGCAUACGGCAGACUUCGAAGCAAACACGCCUACUUGGCAUUCACAUCCACAGAGAGGUAAGACCCGAGAUAACUAAACGGGAGGCUGAAACAUAUUUCACACGUUCUACUAGGUGUCGAGGUACUUUGCUGGCUGGCCUAGCUAAACAAACCACAGGUAAGCCACACAAAAUUUGCCCGGCGGCAAGUCGUACAGCAUCAGAGGCCAUAAAGCCAUAAAGAUUCACGUCAGAGAGCCCAACACAUGGAGCAACACCGUAAGCAAAAACUAUCAGGUAAGCUUCAUGGCUUGCACUUGGCAUGUCCCAGUUCAAUCGAGCAUCGGACCACGCCCGCGGCCUCGGGCGCGCCAUGGGCCUCCCCUUCUUCCCAUGCCACGACCUGUGAGGUGACGAAUGCGAGUGAUGAGAGGUAGGGGCGUGCAAGAAGCACAUCACUAUGAUAUGUCACACCAGAGCUUACCACGGCCUGGAGGGGGGUAUUCAUAAGGUUCUCCAUCGAAGUAUUCAUUCUGCUCCAUCCAUCUUCCCCUGCCACGCCCUGCGAAGCAAUGGAGGAUAGGAGCCAUGAGAGGAAAGGGCAUGCAAAAGCCACAGAAAGAUGGUAUGCGAGACCGAGCUUACCACGGCCUGGAGGAGGGCGAUACUCAUCUGGUUCGCCAUUGUAGUAUUCAUUCUGCUCCAUUCUUCUUCCCCUGCCACGCCCUGAGAAACCAUGAGGAACAUAAGCCAUGUGAGAUAGGGGCAUGCAAAAAUGAAAAACAGAAACAAUGAUACAUCAUACUGAGCUUACCACGGCCUGGAGGGGGUUGAUACUCAUCUGGUUCCCCAUCAAAGUAUCCACCCCGCUCUUCAUAGUAGCCACCCCUGCCACCAUAACCGUAAUCAUAGCCAUAGCCACCACGUCGACCACCUCCGUAGUAGCCACGGGCUCUUCCCCUUCCUCUUAGCCGGCCUCUCCCUCUGCCUCUACCAUUGUGGUAAUAGUCUCCAUCCUCCUCCCAUUCUUCACCCCAGUCAUAAGGAGGGGGUCCAUUGCUAAUAGCUGUACACGUUUAUCAUCACAGAAUUAACAUAGUUUCUUGUCCAUAUGAUUUGUUGUAAGAAAAUAACGCAUGCACUCUGAACAAACUUAUAAAUUGUAGACUGAAAAAUAAGUCCAGAAAAUGAAGCCAAUUGAAGCACUGUGAACUUAGAAUGCAAGAAAACUAGAUGAUACCCAAUGAAUUCACCCUCAAGAUUUAAACUAUUCUAUGUAGAAACAAAAAGGCAAAAAAUAGUAUAAAAGGUUGAGUGUGUCAUAAAUUAAAUGUGAUGGCAUUUAAAAUCCACUAUGCAUGUUGCAGGGUAGAGUGACUCGUUCAAAUCGGAGGGAUGUUAGUUGACCAGGCUAGCAAAUCCAAUGGCUAUAAAAAUUCGGAUGGUGUGGAAGCACACAUGCACAGAAAAAUAGCAAUUAAUGACUUGUGGGGUUUGUCUAUAUAAGAUAUAGAGAUAUGUCAGUUUUUAGGAAGGUAGGUAAACAAACCAGUCACGUGUGAAAGGUACAGGGUGUAAAGGAGUAAGCCGUAUUAUGUAUACGUAAUAAGAUAUUGUAACUUGGCAACAUGGGAUGCUAAAGUUAUAAAGAUACGGUCGUGUCUGGGGGCCAUAUGAGUUACUAUCUGAAAGUUGUGUGCUCGGAAAGACGUGAGGAAAAAAAAUACCUCUGCCCCUGCCCCUUCGGCCGCCACCAGGUCCACCACGACCUCUACCACGAGCAGAGGGAAAGGAUCCUAAAUUACCAUGAAGGACGUUGUGAUCAAAUGGUGAUACAUGUGAAAAAUAAAAAACGGUGGAGCGGAUCAACUCAGAGCAACACCUUCGUGUUCAUAAUCAAAAGCAGGUUUCACCUCUUCAGCUGGUAUGGGUGGCUGGUACCUAAGGGUAUAUACCCACAAUACGCAGACAAAUUACAGCCAGUUUCCAAUAUUGAACAACAAUAGACAGCUAAGGGAACUCAAAGCGGCUGAAUCUGAACUGAUUCAAUAUCUGGUUGUACAAAAAUGAGCGAAAGGACAGGGCUUGCCUUACCCUGGAGAUGAUGUAUCCAAUGGUUCCUUGGACAAUGUUAGGGUAAUCAUUGAUACAUGACGAGUUGUCUCUAGCCUGUGGUAAAAGUGCAUUAGUGUGGCAAUAAAUCUUUCUUCUUUUUCUGAAGAAAAGAAUAUAUGUACAUCCAUACGGGACAAGGCCUUCUUCCAGAGGCUCCCAUGUGUCAGUGAUGCCAACAGAUUCAAUAGACGUAUUCUGAUGGAGACCAGCAACCCUUCUCUGAGGAACAUUAUGUGUCAAAUUAGCAAAACAAACAAAAAAUAACCACAUUAAUAACAGAUAUUUUAAGGCAGAAGAAGUUACUAUUAACCUUGAUCAAUUCAGCAACCAUGACCGUCUUAUUUAUGGCACGUCCCAUGGCUUUGAUAGUGAUCUCAUCAUGCCCAUUUUCCUGAAAAAAUGCAUGCAAAUAAAUAUACAGUAGGAGCAAGAAAAAAAGUGGUUCAGUUAUGAAUUCAACCAAAAUGAAAUCAAGAUUAAUAACACCAUUUAGGGAUUCUGAAAAAUUCUGUUGACCACUGACCACAAACAGGUUUUCAGAAAAUAAUGACUGAAGCGGUAUAUGCAAAUAUGAAGGUAGCUUUUCGACAUUCAUGUGAACUGCACACAAGUUCAUGUCAUUUUAUUAAGCUGAUAACAUGCACAUACUUCAGGCAUAAAGAUCGAAUGGUAAGUAAGUGAAACAAAGACAAACUGAAAGGCUUCACAAAGUUACGUUGUCAGACUCGAACAGGAAGUAAUGGACAGAGAAGCACUACAGAAUAUUAACCAAGAAAACCCAAAGUCGGGCAGGUGUCUCUACUUUAUUUUUUUAUUAUAUACUUAGAAAGAACCUAGCAUUCCAUCUUUCACCCAGUUUUGUCUCAUCAAACCAAUCUUUGGCAACCCAAUAAACCAGAUCAAUCUAUGUAAAGCAGAUUAGAAAUAAAUCCACGGUCCAUAAAUAAAUUGUUUUUAUGGUAAAACGGCUGGGCAUUCGGUUUAUAUGGUUAAUACGGUUCGGUUUAUUCGGUGUUUUAUAAUUUCGGUUUUGUAGAAAUGGAAACCGAAUUAAUCACACAAUAUUUAGAAACCGAACCAUAUUAACCAUAAUAUAUCGGUUCGGUUUAUUUGGUUAACCGAAAAACCAAAAUUUACAUGCACUCAUCAGUAUAUAUCACAAGAGCUAGCAACCUUAACAUCAGUCCGUGCUUUAUUCGGUCAAGCAAACUAGUGAACAUAACUAAGUGUAAAAUCACAUGGGGCGUUACAUGUAUUAUGUACCGAAGAAUAUGUGUGAUGCGUGUAAACUAAGCAACUCAUGCACUAAUUGAUACACUAAUUGCUAGUUACUUCCAUAACCAAGCGCCGGGCAUGCAUACAUACUCCUACGAGUACUAGUUAGAUUGUGAGAUUAGAAACUCAUCUAGCGGCUGGCCUGACGUCUGCCACAACCAACAAGUAUUUGCCAGAGGACGCGCCCCCGCUGCACUUUCGAAAACAAGGUAUUGCAUGGGGUAUCGUACAUAUCGGUUUUUUCGGUGUAUUCGGUUUUUGGACACUGGAAACCGAACAAAAACCAAACACCGAACAACCUUAAAAUUUCCCACCGAACAAAAAAUCGAAUCACCGAAUUAAUAGAUAAAUCGGUUAAUAUGGUUCGGUUCGGUUCGGUUUUUCGGUUUUCGGUUCAAAAGUGCCCACCCAACCUGGUACUGAUCAGUCAUCUUUGGUAAAUAACAAUAAAAUUCACUGCCCAGAAGUAAAUAAAUAUCAACCAAACUCUUAGUAUUUGGUAACCCGAUAAAGCAGAUUAAUCAUGGGCACAUAUCUAUUUUAUCAGUUUAAGAAAUAGCUGGAAAUCUAUACUUUGUAAAUAAAACGUAAUCUUAUUUUGUCUAUUUGCUUUGCAUCAAGAUUUGUCCCAUAUGAUCCUCUUACUGUGUUAAGAAAUACUUAGCCCCCGUGGCAACGCACGGACAGCACGGACACAUACCUAGUACUAGAAUUAUAAAUAAAAAAUCUAACAUCAUACUCGGUGGCAAAUAGAAACACCUAAUGAUAAAUUAAAUACAUGUGAGCACAGGCAUAGGAUGUUGAGCAGUGUCCCUGAACAUAUCCCCACUAUCGAGGCAUUUCCCAGAUUGCUAAACAUGGCAUACAAAGAAAUUGUUGCUUAUUGAACACCAGAUAAGGACAAAGCGAAAUGACGAAGCAUAGCAAGGGGCAUCACCUCAAGCAACGACAUCCCGUAGCCGAUAUAGUUCCUCAUCCUCCCGAGCGCAGUGAUCCUGAUCUCGUUCUCACGAAUCGGUGUCUCAUUCCGAGGCUUCUCCACCCUUUGGUAUCUAUCCAUGGCUAUGAAUCGAGAUAGGUCUUAGCAUGGCAAGAGCAGCAGCAUAAAUAAAGUACACAGAAAUAAGGUAGGCAUGAAAGGAGAUGAGACGCGAGGAUAAAAACGUAAGAGGCGACAUGAUAAAUCGGAUAACCGCCGGCCACGAUUCAUGCAACCCCCAAGAACCCUACCCCCAGCAGUCGGUUGCAGCAAACGAUACACGAGAUGAGAAGCUAAACCCACGCGAAACGGAAUGAGAAGCUGAGGAAGGCACGCCAUGACGGCACGGUGCGAAUUUCUUGGAAAGGAAGAGGGGGGAGCACGAAGGAGCAAAUGGCCCCGCGACACCCUGAAUUCCUGAUCCAGGAAAGCAGCCUGAGGCGCAGACCCAAGGAAGCUGCCGGAAUGACGGCGGCGACACGGAUUUCGCUCCGCAUCGCCGAAUGGCGCGAACAGGGCCCCGCCGGCAACGUCGCCUCUGCCGCCAACGCGCGCUCCCCGGCGGAGGCGAGGAGUCGAAUCGGCUCCUAGCCGCCGCCGGCGCCCGAAUCGGAGAAGAAUCGACAGGGGGCGAGGAGGAUGAGAGGGGGAAGGAAUCGAUCGCACCUUCGGGCUCGCUGCUCCGCUCUGCCUACGGAGAGAGUGAGGAGGGGUCUCGAGGUCGACGGGGUGGAGGGGGAACUGGGGAACCUCCCGUGGCGUGUGCGGGUUCAUGGAUGCAUUACGGUCGUCCCUACGGGUGACGUGGAGGCGCUUUAGACGUUCGUUCGCGCGAUUGCGUGGGCGUGUGGCCUCGAUGGACCGGUUCGAGGAUAAGGAGGGACUGCGUGCCACUGUCAGUUGAGGCCAGGCGACAAGUGGGACUGCGGGAGGGGCUCCGUGUCACUACAGGGCCUGCCUACUGACACGUGCGUCACCUGUGAUAACGAUACUCCCUCAAACGGUGCAUGUAGAUUUUCAAAAAAAAAACUUCACAAAUUGAUCACGUUUGUAGAGAGCAAUAUUUACAUCUAGAGUGCCAAAUAUAUACAUAUAGAUUCAUCAUAAGUUGUAGUUUCGUAUUUUAUAUAUAUUUGAUAUUAUAGGAAUAAAUAGUUUUCUUUAUUAACUUGAUUUUGCAAUGUUUGAUUUUCUAAAAAAAUCUAUACGCAUUAUAUAUUAUGAAACGGAUGAAGUACUUCAUAAGGUGAUGCUCUGCACCGGUCAACUAGCGCGAGCUCCAGGCCAGCCACAUCCAAACCGCUUGAUGCGUUCCUCUUAGCGGUGAAAUCACCCCUACAUCCCCUCUUUCAAAACGCACAGGCAUGCAUGGUCAACCCUCUUUCCUUGUGCGAGUUGGAGAGUGGACAAUUGCGCAUUGGUUGGUAGCACCACGACGUGCCUGGCCGCAGCUCGAUUGCAACUUUGUUGCCCCUUCCUACGGGUGGUAUCAAUAUUGCUCGGCCAUCGUUGUCGUCCGAGCAUCAAUGCAUCAUCUCUAGUUGUCUGUGGUUCUAGCUCUCCUCUCCCCCCCCCCCUCCUCCCCCCACAUCGCUGGUUNNNNNNNNNNNNNNNNNNNNNNNNNNNNNNNNNNNNNNNNNNNNNNNNNNNNNNNNNNNNNNNNNNNNNNNNNNNNNNNNNNNNNNNNNNNNNNNNNNNNNNNNNNNNNNNNNNNNNNNNNNNNNNNNNNNNNNNNNNNNNNNNNNNNNNNNNNNNNNNNNNNNNNNNNNNNNNNNNNNNNNNNNNNNNNNNNNNNNNNNNNNNNNNNNNNNNNNNNNNNNNNNNNNNNNNNNNNNNNNNNNNNNNNNNNUCUGGUUCAACAUCCCGAUGUCACAGUCUGGUUGCAGCUCCUAGUGAUUCCCAUUGUAGCAUCGCGGCGGCCCGUUGCAUCAUCUCGACGUCAGCAUCAUGGCAUCGACAGACGCGAGUCGUAACUUCGGCUCUCUUAUCGCAGCCUGCCAUCUCGUCGGUCCUAGCAAAAACGGUUGUAGCUUCCAUGGGAGCCGAUUGCGGCUUUCCCGUCCUCUCUCUCGGCACUGUCUAGCUUAUGCAAGCGCCGGUUGUAGCUUUCACCAUCGUUGGUUUCCGUAGUGGUGGACCGUAGCUUAGCGUGGUGCAGCUGCACACCCCGGCGGGCAUGGAGGCACUCGUGGCGGAGAUCAACGGUGAGGAUGCGCAUUGUAGCUUCCACGGGAGCUGACUGCAGCUUUCGCUUCCUCCUCACUGGGCACUAUCGUAGCUUAUGCAGGCAACGGUUGCAGCUUUCGCUACCGCUGGUUUUAGCAGUGGCAGACCGUAGCUUACCAUGGUGCAGCUGCACACCCCGGCAGGCAUGGAGGCACUUGUGGCAGAGAUCAACGGUGAGGAUGCACAUUAUAGCUUCCACGGGAACCGAUUGCAGCUUUCCCUUACUCCUCGGUCCUCACUGGGCCUAUCGUAGCUUAUGCAGGCGCCGGUUGCAGCUUUCGCCAUUGCUGGUUUUAGCAAUGAUGGACCUUAGCUUAGCAUGGUGCAGCUGCACACCCCGGCGGGAAUAGAGGCACUCGUGACGGACAUCAACGAUGAGAAUGCACACUCCGGCGGGCAUGGAGGCACUCGUGGCGGAGAUCAACGGUGAGGAUGAGAAAGCCACUGGUGAGGAGUUAGGAUGGUGCAGACGUAAGGAGUUAGGGAAGAGGGACACAUGAGGAGCCGAGAGAGAAUGGCGACGAACAUGAGUUAGUUUAGAGGAACAGUGGAGGAUGGCGGCAAGUGCCACAAAACCAGCGAACGUGAGUUAGGAAAGAAGGAACUGGGGAGGAGGUGGCCGGUAAUCCAAUCGAAGGAGCCGAGACAGGAUGGCGACGAGCGUGCGACUAAGAGAUAAGCAAGCGAGCGGUGCUGCAAUCAACCUGGUUACUAAAACAGGUCUGGUUCAGAAGACUUAAAAUGGCAUGGAUUUGUACCAAGAAAGUCCUAGGCAAGCAGACCUAUUUCUAACAGCCGGUACGACGAUGAAAAUGGCUUCUACACAUUCCUUCAAAGCUCGCAGAAAACUAGAUAAACAACCUUUUAGGCAAGCAAACUCAUUUCAGAAAAUUUGCGACAAGGUACGACUCUAAAUAGGUUUCAACAGCUAAAUCACAAUAACAAUAGCACAUGACACGAAGAAUUCAUAGAUGAGCCAGAUUCUGAAAACAUCAACUAGUACAAAACUUAGGCAGGGGAAGUAAUCAAGUAUCACAUGUUCGUUUUGACAAAAUGAUAUAACUGAUGAUGCGCGGCGGCAGCUCAAGCCUUGAGCUUGCCGUAGAACCUCUGCUUCUCGUCUGUGGUCUGGAAGCGACCGUGGCCGAACUUGGAAGAGGUGUCGACAAACUUGAGCUUGAUCUCCUCCAGGGCCAGACGAGAGGUCUGCUUCAGCAGGGACUGGCGGAGGGUCACCACGCGCUUCUUGGGGCCGACACAGCAUCCUUUGAUCAUCAGGUAGUCAGCCUUCACCACACCAUAGUGAGGGAAGCCGCCCAUCGGAGUGAUGUCCUUCUCGGUCCUGUAAGAUCAAACCAGUGCAAAAGGAUCAUCACCGGAUACAAUUCAGACCAGAAAGUACAUAGAUUACAAACAAAAGCUAACAAAAACACACCUGUCGAACUCAGUAGAGGCAUCAUGAGUUUCCUGUCCAACCUUGCCAAUCUUGUAGACCUUCUUGUUCAUCUCAGUUCGGUGGUGGUAUCCAUUCUGACCAGCACGAGCAACAGUGUAGGACACCCUAGCAGGAUGCCAGGCACCAAUACAGGCAACCUUGCGAAGACCUCUGUGGGUCUUGCGGGGAAGACGGGUGACACCCCAACGUGUCACAACACCUUCAUAACCCUUACCCUUGGUAACUCCAAUGAUGUCAAUCAUCUCAUCUUUUUGGAAUACAGCAUCAAUGGGGACUUCCUUCUCAAAGAAGUUGUAACCAUAGUCGACCUUGUCAGCGAUGGUGCCACCAUUGAUCUGGAUCUCCAUGAGGUGAGCCUUCUUCUGCUUCAACCCCUUCAUCUUCCUGAUCUGAAUCACAUCAAGAGAGCAACGUGAGUAACAUUACUGUCAUGAGUGAACAACAAGGGCAAAAGAUAGAAAGUAACAAGACAAUUUCUGACCUGGGUAUGGGCGAUAACUCGGACAACAGUAGCAUACUUCUUCAUCUUCUCAAGCUGCAUCUGGAUUUCUUUCUUGCCAGCAUCACUGUCAUACUUCAGAGCAUACUUGGUGAAGGCCUUCUUCUUGCUCUUGCACCAGUUCUUGUAGAACCUUCUCCUCACAUCUUCGCUGAGAUGCUGUGCCCAGACAGAGUUGAGAGUACGAAGGCCACGAGGAGUCUUCACAUAGGCAACAAGUCCAACAAUAACAAUCGGGGGUGUCUCAACAAUGGUGACAGCCUCACAUGUCUCCUUCUUGUGUAGCUCUGUAGGAUAUCAAAUGGAGUGUUAUCACACAUAUGCAGAACACAUUUACAAAUUCUAAGUUAACUAACAGAGAAUCAAUUGGGUAAAACAAGAAUAUGAACAUAGACAGAGAGUUAGUAAACAUACUGGAACCAGGCUUCUCGACCUCACGCACAAUGUGAGUCAUCCCAGCCUUGUAGCCAAGGAAGGCAGUGAGAUGGCAUUUCUUGGAUUGGUCAUCUCUGGGGAAGGCCUUCACUGCAAUGAGAACAGGCAAAUAUUAGAUUGAUAUAACAAAAUCAAUUGAAUGUCAAAUUUUCGCAAUGACUGGAAACAGCAUUGAAGAAUCAAACAAGCAGUGUGCCACAUGCACUGAUGUAAUGACAGGAAAAGCUAAAAACACUACGCAUUUGAAAGAAGCAAUUUACUACGGUACAGAUAUUUGGCAUCUUUCCAGACUAGCAAAAUUUUGAAUGAAAACUGGUGCACGCAUGCAUUUGUAAUCUAUUAUAAAUGUUAUCAACAAUAGUUUACCGGCUGUGUUCCUUGCUUAGACAUGAAAAACAGCAUCGCGGUAACAACAAAACAAACAUUGAGACGUGCACAUUAAGGAUUACAGGUUACACAUGAACUAAUUGAAAACUUCAACAAAGGACUAGGGCAGGAGGCAAUCUAAGGAAGCCAAAUUAUGGCGUGAAUUCCUAGUUACGAACUUACUACUGCACACAAAAAGGUCACUAACCCAAGCAUGUUUCAACAAAAAGCGAUGCACCCAAACAAUCUAUCCACACAAGCGGGCUCGCCUCACUGAUCGACUCAACAUACAGACAGAGCAUAGCACGGCUAUCAUCGGCAGGUGAAGAGUAACUAAGCAAACAGGCAUACCCUUUCCGCGGUGGCGCGAGCACCGCUUCCUGGGGAGGAAACCGAGGGAUCCGUGCCUCGGGUGCUCGAACUUCCGGUGCGACAUCUUCCCUUCCUUUCCCUGCGGAUAACAAAUCAGGAAUCCAUCAGAUCCCGGCAGCACAAGAGCGCAACGAAACGACCACGAGUUCACGACUUCGGGCGGCGGCGGCAGAGCCCGGCGGCAACCAAAUGCCCGCCGCCGUCGACGGUGAGAAGAGAGCAGAGACGAGGGAAAGGGAGUAGGCGGCGCAGUUUACCUGUGGAGGUGGAGGUGGAGGCGGCGGCGGAUGGGGGAGGGUGGUGUGUGGAGGAGGAGGGCACGUAAACCCUAGGAGAGCUUAUAUAAAGAGGGACCCCAGGGUGAGGGUUUUGUUCGGUCGGACGGAAAUGCCCCUUGCGGAUGUUGCUAGGGCUAAUGAGGCCUGGCCCGUUUCUCUGCUCUACGUGUGGGUUCCGGCCCAAUGUGCAUUCUCUAAAAAAAAAGGUUACUCUGCUUUCUCUCCCCAAAAGAAAAAUUAAGGCCUCGCUCAAGCUGGGAGGGCCGAUGACGUAUGUCGACCCAAGUUAAAAAUAUCAGAUAGUUUGAGCACCUUUAAUUAGAGAUUUAUUAGAUUGUCUCAAAAAAAAAAAAUUUAGAGGGUGCUUUGAAGGUGUAAUGUAAAGCCAGCGAGCCUCAGACCUCUUCCAAUGCAAAAGUGCUUAGAUGAGAUGCUAAGAGCAUCUCUAGCAGACCCUGCAUCCCGCCGACCCGUAAAACGCGUUUGCAGUUUGCGGAAAGCGCGUUUUAAGGGUCGGUUUUUGCUGCGGCAGAACAGACCCCUUAAACUUAAACUGUAAAAUGGAAUAUUCGCUUAUAUUAUUUCCCCACAUCUUUUUCUUCCUCUUGUCCAUGCCCAUGGUCAGCUAGUUUGCUCCCGCAAAAACCGACAAAUAACACACAAUGCGGCAAAAAAUGGAGUCGCACGAUCCAUUCAUUAGCUAACUAGCUCUGCUCAAAUUGAUCGAGAGCUAGCUAGCUAGCUCUGCUUGAAUCCACACAGGAGCGAGCUAGCUAGCUAGCCUAGCUUGAAUCCAUCUAGGAGCGAGCUAGCUAGCUCCUCCGUCGCCGCGGGCUGCGGCCGGGGCGGACGACGCGGACGGGCCGCCGGUGCGAACGGACNNNNNNNNNNNNNNNNNNNNNNNNNNNNNNNNNNNNNNNNNNNNNNNNNNNNNNNNNNNNNNNNNNNNNNNNNNNNNNNNNNNNNNNNNNNNNNNNNNNNNNNNNNNNNNNNNNNNNNNNNNNNNNNNNNNNNNNNNNNNNNNNNNNNNNNNNNNNNNNNNNNNNNNNNNNNNNNNNNNNNNNNNNNNNNNNNNNNNNNNNNNNNNNNNNNNNNNNNNNNNNNNNNNNNNNNNNNNNNNNNNNNNNNNNNNNNNNNNNNNNNNNNNNNNNNNNNNNNNNNNNNNNNNNNNNNNNNNNNNNNNNNNNNNNNNNNNNNNNNNNNNNNNNNNNNNNNNNNNNNNNNNNNNNNNNNNNNNNNNNNNNNNNNNNNNNNNNNNNNNNNNNNNNNNNNNNNNNNNNNNNNNNNNNNNNNNNNNNNNNNNNNNNNNNNNNNNNNNNNNNNNNNNNNNNNNNNNNNNNNNNNNNNNNNNNNNNNNNNNNNNNNNNNNNNNNNNNNNNNNNNNNNNNNNNNNNNNNNNNNNNNNNNNNNNNNNNNNNNNGAGCUUCAUGGUCGGGCGGCGGCCGGGCGGCCGGGUGAGCUUCAUGGCCGGGCGGCCGGGCCGCGCCCGGCAAGCUUCAUGGCAUUGGGGGGGAGCAGAGAUUUUUCAACCGCCAACGUUGACUGGUAUGCAGGGCACUGAAAAAGUUACCUUCAAAACUGUAGAUAUGAGGGUUUCAUCUUCGCGUUUACGGGGCCCCUUAAAAAAAUUUAAGGGUCGGACGAUUUUAAGGGGUCUGUUCAGGCCCGUUUUUUUGAUUGAAACUGUAAAAAAAACGGUCAUUUUACGGGUUUGACCACUUAUGCGGGGUCUGCUAGAGAUGCUCUAAGUGCAUUAAAUACCUUAGCAACUCAAUUUCCUAAUGCACAGGUGCUUAACUUGUUGUUACUAAACAAACUUUAUUUAAUGAGUUAGCACCUAAAGAGUUUCAUGCAUUGGUCAAAUUGUUUCAUUUAAGUGGUUUGCCUAAGUUCUCGCGCUUGGCGUUGAUUCUUCCUGAGGUCACCAAAAUGUUCUCUCCCCUCCUUAAAUGUUGUGCCAUGUCAUUUUUUUUCUUACGUGGCAUGCUUAGCACCUGUCCAUGGUGGAGCACUAGGAAGGGCCGCACAUCUAUCAUUGUAGUUUUUAUUUUAUUAUGAAAAGCUCUGAAUAUGAGGGCUUUGAAGAGUCAUUUCCCAUAAAUGGCUUCUUGGUGAAAAACAAGGGAGGGGGUCUAUGAAGGUAUAUUCCAAAGUCCAUCGACAUUUUGUUGUUUUGUUCUUAUUUGUCCGCGUAAGUUGCAAGAGGUGUGUAAGAAGAUCCCACACUGGAGCGCUCCACUAGUGGCCUUCUUGAAGUUGCAUGUAUAUGAAGUGUUAAGAAGUCUAUCAAGGAGCUUUUGAAGGAUUUUGUCAAACAUGUGAGGUGUAUCAGAAUGGUGCUUCGAUGGCCGUCACCAGUAGUAUGAUUGGUCCGGUAACCUUUAUCCCUAGCUUAGGAGAUCAAUGGUCGCAAGUUGGUUACCAUGUCAACCUGUUAGUCAGAGUCAACAACACUUUGAUGGGCAGCCAAUAUGGGUAUAACUCGGUUCUUAUGGAGAUCAAGCAUGAGUCUACAUUUAAAAGUGAAGUGCAACAUAGAAUCACGUGUUAUGGUUAAGCAUCACAUUUGGCUGCUUUAGUCACUGAACAUCUGCACUGUACCUUUGAAUAUUUACCGAAAAAGGCUUUCGCCCCGCUUUAUAGAUAAAGCAAACGGCCCAAGCCAAACAUCCAACAAGGUUCACACACACAAGAUCCACAAACACACACAAAGUAGCAUACGGGGUUUAUAUAUGCUAAGGGCACAGCUCAACAAGCCCUGAAAUCCAAAACACAAACACAAGCACAACAGCACAUCAGCCCGAACAGCAGGCCUAAUCGGGCUCCGGAGGAGGGGGCGGCUAAGCGGCCGCCAAAGCUGCAGGUAACCACACAUUUUAAAGAUCGCGUCAGUCGCACGUCGAAGAGGCACUUUCUGAAUAACAAGCUUGUUGCGGAUGGUCCAAAGCGUCCAAGCGAGGACCCCAACGCACAACCAUCUAAUAUGGCGGGGGGGCGGAUACGUGGAUCUCAGCAAGCAGGUUCGGGAAGUUGGUGUUGCACCACUGUCCACCAACCGUCUCGCGAAAGCAAGACCACAGGAAUUGGGUUGUGGAGCAGGAGAAAAGAUGUGAUUAGCAUCCUCCACCGUGCCACAGAGGGGGCACACCCCGUCUCCUGGUCCAUUACGCUUGAGGACCUCUACCCCAGAGGGGAGGUGUCCCCGGAUCCACUGCCACAGGAAGAUCCUGAUCUUCAGAGGGAGGCGGAUGUCCCAAAUCAAGCUAAAGGGCUCAGGGGGCGACGAGAGAGCGAUAGCUGAAUAUAAGGACUUAGUGAAGAAGCGGUUGUUGGACUCUAGUUGCCAAGAGAUGGAGUCAGGGGCGCCCUCGACGUCCAAUGGCAGGAGGGCGAUGUCCUGGAGGAGAGAGUCAAUAAGGGUCGUCUCGACAGAGACCCUAGGGUCAACCGCUAUGGAGAAUAGUUCCGGGAAUCGAGCGACCAGGGGGAGUCCCCUACCCAACGAUCGAACUAGAAUAGGGUCAAGGAUCCGGAGCCAACCAAAAUGGACGUGCCGAUGAGGAGCACGGGUAGCAGUUGUAUCACAGCCUGCCAGAACUGGGAGCCACCAAAACGCUAGCAAAAAGCUAGAGGUUGGCCCCAAAGGUACUUAUUGCGGAUGAUGGUGAGCUAGAGUCCCCCUUCCCCAUUGGCGAUUCGCUAGAGCCAUCGGGUCAGGAGAGCAAUGUUCAUGCACCGAGAAGACAAGAUCCCAAGACCACCCUGGUCCUUAGGCUUGCAAAUGUCGGGCCAGCUCACCAUAUGGUAUUUCUGUUUCUCGCCCUCACUUGCUUAGAAAAACCUGGACUGGUAUUUGGCGAUCUCCUGAUGGAGAGUCUCAUGAAGGCUGUAGAAGCUCAUGAGGAACCAGAGGAGGCUGGAAAGCGAGGAGUUGAUGAGGAUCACUCUGGUUGCCUUCGAGAGCCACCUUCCCUUCCAUGGCUCCACCCGAUGCUGCAUCCGAGUCACCGAUGGGCGAAGAUCGGCCACGGUCAGUUGCGAGUCACUAAUGGGUAUCCCCAAAUAAGAUGUGGGGAAAGUACCUAGUUGACAGUUCAGCCGGUCGGCCAUGGCUUGGGCUUCCUCAGGAGAGUAACCUAGAAUCAUCACUUCGCUCUUAUCGAAGUUGAUUGUGAGCCCGAACAUCUGUUGGAAGCAUAGGAGGAGGAACUUCAGAUUAGCGAUGUCGGACGCGGAACCCUCCACCAUUAUUAUGGUAUCAUCUGCAUAUUGUAGGAGAGAGACCCCUCCCCCUCCUACCAGGUGAGGGACUACACAAUGGAUGUGGCCAGCAGAUUUGGCCUUAUCCCGGAUGAUGGCAAGGGCAUCAACCACCAUGUUAAACAGAAAUGGGGAGAAUGGGUCGCCCUAGCGAACCCCACAAAGUGUGAGGAAGUAUGGUCCGAUCUCAUCGAUAAUGUUAAUCACGGUCCGCCCGCAGAUGAUGAGCUGCAUAACUCUGGUCACCCACCGGUCAUCAAAGCCCUUGCGGAGCAAGACUUUCCGAAGGAAGGGCCAGUGAACCAUGUCAUAGGCUUUAUGGAAGUCGAGCUUUAGGAAGCCCGCUCGAUGGUGCUUGGACCGAACUUCAUGAAGAACUAUGUGGAAUACUAACACCCCAUCCAGAAUAAACCACGCUUGGAUGAAGGCGGGUUGGUUGGGGUGAGUAACGGUGUCAGCUAGAAGGGUCACCCUAUUGGCAUACCCCUUGGCCAAGAUCCGAAAUAUCACAUUGAUCACAGUGAUAGGCCGAAACUGGCGGAUGUCGGAAGCGCCCGGAACUUUGGGGAUGAGAGUAAUGACCCCAUAGUUCAGGCACCCAAGGUCCAUAGUCCCCGAGUAGGAUUCAUCAAAGAGGGCCAUGACUUCCGGUUUGAUGGUCUGCCAGAAAGUUUUGAGAAACAUCACAGACAGCCCAUCAGGACCCGGGGUAGAGGAGGGUUCAGGCCCUUUAUGGCCACGAGGACCUCGUCCUUGGAGAAGGGCGCCACCAGGACGACAUUCACCUCCUCAGAAGCUAACUGGGCAGCUGACCAAGUGUCGGGGGCCAGUGCAGCCCCACCCCUAGGGGUGGGGGAGAAUAGGGCCUUAUAAAAGCCAUCGACAUGGACUCGGAUGUCCGAAGGGCAAACGAGAGGGGUGUCGCCAUCCCACAAACAAUGGAUGGAGUUCCGACGCCUCCGCCCAUUGGCAAUUGCCUGGAAGUAUGCCAUAUUGGCAUCCCCACGAGCACCCACUGUUGGGUACUGCGGAGCCUCCAGCAUGCUUCUUCAUCCGUGUAGAUGGUCGAGAGCUGAUCCUCGAGAUCAUAUAUCAGCAUCCACUCAUCCGGGAAGAUCCCGGAUGUGUCCGCACGGGCGUCAAGGGCUUGGAUGGCAGUCAGGAGGGCUUUCUUGCGCUCGCGGAGGUUCCGGCCAAGGUCGCGCCCCCACCCCUUCAUAAAUUGGCGGGCGAGCUUGGCACAAAACUGCCACGAGUCAACAAUGGACAUGGAGCGGUGGGGAGAUGAUCGCGCGGAGACCCAUCUAGUCGCUACCGCCUCGACAAAACAUGCCUGGUUCUGCCAGAAGAGCUCAAACCGAGAUCGCGGCAGGGAGGGGGGCGCUUGUCGGAGGUAGAGAGGAGGAGAGGGACGUGGUCUGACCCGAUCCAAGUGACCGCUGAUACGUAACCAAUGUAUCUAUAAUUUUUUAUUAUUCCAUGCUGUUUUGUUAUCAAUCUUGGAUGUUUUAUAAUCAUUUUAUAGUCAUUUUAUAUCAUUUUUUGGUACUAACCUAUUAACAUAGUGCCAAGUGCCAGUUGCCGUUUUCUGCAUGUUUCUUACAUCACAGGAAAUCAAUAUCAGAAGGAGUCCAAAUGCCACGCCAAUUUACGAUGAUUUUUUAUGGACCAAAGGAAGAAGAUGGGCCCUGGUUGCACCUCGGGGGAGCCUCAAAGAGGGGACAACCCACCAGGGCGGGCCAGGAGGCCCAGGCGCGCCCUGGUGGGUUGUGCCCACCUCGGGUGCCCCCUGGACCGACUCUUUGCUCUAUAAAUACCCCAAUAUUCCAGAAACCCUAGGGGAGUUCUUUGUAGACCUUCGGGUCCGCAGUUAGUAGCUAGAUGGCUUCCUCUCUCUCUUUUGAUUAUCAAUACAAUUGUCUCUUGUAUAUCCAUAUGAUGUAAGUCCUUUUUGCGGUGUGUUUGUUGGGAUCUGAUGAACUUUGAGUUUAUGAUCAGUUAUAUCUUUUUAUAUCCACGAAAGUUAUUUGAGUUCUUUUAUCUCUUAUAGCCUCGUAUUUCUUCUCCGAUAUCUGGGUUUUGUUUGGCCAACUUGAUCUUUUUAUCUUGCAAUGGGAAAAGGUGCCCAGUAGUGGGUUCGAUCUUAUGGUACUUGAUCCCAGUGAUAGAAAGGGAACCAACAUGUAUGUAUUGUUGCUACUAAGGAUAAAAAGAUGAGAUCCAUAUCUGUCGCAAUAAAUAAACGGAUCUCGUCUACAUCAUGUCAUCGUUCUUAAUGCAUUACUCCGUUUUUCAUGAACUUAAUACACUAGAUGCAUGCUGGAUAACGCUCGAUGUGUGGAGUAAUAGUAGUAGAUGCAGGCAGGAGUCGGUCUACUAAUGUUGGACGUGAUGCCUAUGUAAUGAUCAUUGCCUGGAUAUCGUCAUGAUUAUUUGAAGUUCUAUAAAUUUCCCAAUAGUAAUUUGUUCACCCACCGUUUGCUAUCUUUUCGAGAGAAGCCACUAGUGAAACCUACAGCCCGGGGUCUUCUUUCUCAUAUAUUUGCCUUGCGAUCUACCUUUUCCUUGCAUUUAUUUUCAAAUCUAUUAAACUAAAAAUACAAAAAUACCUUGUUGCAAUUUAUUCUUAUUUAUUUUAUUUGGCGUUCGAUCUAUCAAUCUACUACAAAUUUACCUCACGUCCUUUGCCUAUCUUGAGGCAUCGUACCCCUAAAGGGUUUGACAACCCCUUUAACACAUCGGAUUGCGAGGUGUUGUUAUUUGUGUGCAGGGGCUGUUUACGUUGUGUUGCUUGGUUCUCCUACUGGUUCAAUAACCUUGGUUUCAUAUCUGAGGGAAAUACCUACCGCCUAAAGGAAAUAUGCCCUAGAAGCAAUAAUAAAGUUAUUAUUUAUUUCCUUAUUUCAUGAUAAAUGUUUAUUAUUCAUGCUAGAAUUGUAUUAACCGGAAACAUAAUACAUGUGUGAAUACAUAGACAAACAUAAUGUCACUAGUAUGCCUCUACUUGACUAGCUCGUUAAUCAAAGAUGGUUAAGUUUCCUAACCAUAGACAUGGGUUGUUAUUUGAUUAACGGGAUCACAUCAUUAGGAGAAUGAUGUGAUUGACUUGACCCAUUCCGUUAGCUUAGCACUUGAUCGUUUAGUAUGUUGCUAUUGCUUUCUUCAUGACUUAUACAUGUUCCUUUGACUAUGAGAUUAUGUAACUCCCAUUUACCAGAGGAACACUUUGUGUGCUACCAAACAUCACAACGAACUGGGUGAUUAUAAAGGAGCUCUACAGGUGUCUCCGAAGGUACAUGUUGAGUUGGCGUAUUUCGAGAUUAGGAUUUGUCACUCAGAUUGUCGGAGAGGUAUCUCUGGGCCCUCUCGGUAAUGCACAUCACUAUAAGCCUUGCAAGCAAUGUGACUAAUGAGUUAGUUGCGGGAUGAUGUAUUACGGAACGAGUAAAGAGACUUGCCGGUAACGAGAUUGAACUAGGUGUUAAGAUACCGACGAUCAAAUCUCGGACAAGUAACAUACUGAUGACAAAGGAAACAACAUAUGUUGUUAUGCGGUUUGACCGAUAAAGAUCUUCUUAGAAUAUGUAGGAGCCAAUAUGAGCAUCUAGGUUCCGCUAUUGGUUAUUGACCAGAAACGUGUCUCGGUCAUGUCUACAUAGUUCUCGAACCCAUAGGGUCCGCACGCUUAAGGUUUCGAUGACAGUUAUAUUAUGAGUUUAUGAGUUUUGAUGUACCGAAGGAGUUCGGUGUCCCAGAUGAGAUCGGGGACAUGAUGAGGAGUCUCGAAAUGGUCGAGACGUAAAGAUCGAUAUAUUGGACGACUAUGUUCGGACUUCGGAAAGGUUCCGAGUGAUUCGGGUAUUUUUUGGAGUACCCGAGAGUUACGGGAAUUCGCCGGGGAGUAUAUGGGUCUUAUCGGGCCAUACGGGAAUAGAGGAGAGAGGCUAAAAGGAAGGAGACGCGCAGCCCCCCUCUGGUCCGAAUUGGACAAGGGGUGCAGCCCCCUUUUCCUUCCUCCUCUCCUCCUCUUUCCUUCUCUCCUACUCCAACAAGGGAAGGAGGAGUCCUACUCCCGGUGGGAGUAGGACUCCCCCCUUGGCGCGCCUCCUCUUGGCCGGCCACCCCUCCCCCUUGCUCCUUUAUAUACGGGGGCAGGGGGCACCCCAUAGACACAACAAUUGAUCAUUGAUCUCUUAGCCGUGUGCGGUGCCCCCCUCCAUCAUAGUCCUUCUCGAUAAUAUUGUAGCGGUGCUUAGGCGAAGCCCUGCGACGGUAGAACAUCAAGAUCGUCAUCACGCCGUCGUGUUGACGGAACUCUCCCUCGACACUCGGCUGGAUCGGAGUUCGAGGGACGUCAUCGAGCUGAACGUGUACUAGAACUCGGAGGUGCCGUAGUUUCGGUGCUUGAUCGCUCGGGCUAUGAAGACGUACGACUACAUCAACCGUGUUAUUCUAACGCUUCCGCUUUCGGUCUACGAGGGUACGUGGACACACUCUCCCCUCUCGUUGCUAUGCAUCACUAUGAUCUUGCGUGUGCGUAGAUUUUUCUUGAAAUUACUAUGUUCCCCAACAGUGGUAUCAGAGCCUAGGUUUUAUGCGUUGAUGUUAUAUGCACGAGUAGAACACAAGUGAGUUGUGGGUGAUACAAGUCAUACUGCCUACCAGCAUGUCAUACUUUGGUUCGGCAGUAUUUUUGGAUGAAGCGGCCCGGACCGACAUUACGCGUACGCUUACGCGAGACUGGUUCUACCGACGUGCUUUGCACACAGGUGGCUAGCGGGUGUCUGUUUCUCCAACUUUAGUUGAACCGAGUGUGGCUACGCCCGGUCCUUGCGAAGGUUUAAACAACACUAACUUGACGAACUAUCGUUGUGGUUUUGAUGCGUAGGUAAGAACGGUUCUUGCUCAGCCCGUAGUAGCCACGUAAAAUUUGCAACAACAAAGUAGAUGACGUCUAACUUGUUUUUGGAGGGUAUAUUGUGAUGUGAUAUGGUCAAGAUGUAAUGAGAUAUAAGUUGUUGUCUGAGAUAAUCAUGUUUUGUUAAAGUUAUCGGUAACUGGCAGAAGCCUUAUGGUUGUCUCUUUAUUGCAUAAGAUGCAAGCGCCAAAUAAUUGCUUUACUUUAUCGCUAUGCGAUAGCAAUAGUUGGCGAGACGACCAUGUGACUACACAUUGAUAUAGAUCAAGAUGAUGGAGAUCAUGGUGUCAUGCCGGUGACAAUAGAGAUCAUGACAGUACUUCAAAGAUGAAGAUCACAAGCACAAUAUGAUGAUGGCCAUAUCAUAUCACUUAUAUUGAUUGCAUGUGAUAUUUAUCCUUUAUGCAUCUUAUCUUGCUUUGAUUGACGGUAGCAUUUUAAGAUGAUCUCUCACUAAUUAUCAAGAAGUGUUCUCCCUGAGUAUGCACCAUUGCGAAAGUUCUUCGUGCUCAGACACCACGUGAUGAUCGGGUGUGAUAGGCUCUACGUUCAAAUGCAAUGGGUGCAAAACAGUUGCACACGCGGAAUACUCAGGUUAAACUUGACGAGCCUAGCAUGUACAGAUAUGGCCUCGGAACACGGAGACCGAAAGGUCGAAUGUGAAUCAUAUAGUAGAUAUGAUCAACAUAAUAAUGUUCACCAUUGAAAACUACUCCAUCUCACGUGAUGAUCGGACAUGGUUUAGUUGAUUUGGAUCACGUGAUCACUUAGAUGACUAGAGAGAUGUCUGACUAAGUGGGAGUUCUUAAGUAAUAUGAUUAAUUGAACUUUAAUUUAUCAUGAACUUAGUCCUGGUAGUAUUUUGCAAAUUAUGUUGUAGAUCAAUAACUCGCAUUAUUGCUUCCCUAUGUUUUUGCUUCCCUAUGUUUUUAUAUGUGUUCCUAGAGAAAACCAAGUUGAAAGAUGUUAGUAGCAAUGAUGCGGACUUGGUCCGUGAUCUGAGGUUUUUCCUCAUUGCUGCACAGAAGAAUUAUGUCCUUGAUGCACCGCUAAGUGACAGACCUAUUGCAGGAGCAGAUGCAGACGUUAUGAACGUUUGGCUAGCUCAAUAUGAUGACUACUUUAUAGUUUUGUGCACCAUGCUUUAUGGCUUAGAAUCAGAACGUCAAAGACGUUUUGAACGUCAUGAACCAUAUGAGAUGUUCUAGGAAUUGAAGUUAAUAUUUCAAGCAAAUACCCGAGUUGAGAGAUAUGAAGUCUCCAACAAGUUCUAUAGCUAAAAGAUGGAGGAGAAUCGCUCAACUAGUGAGCAUGUGCUCAGAUUGUCUGGGUACUACAAUCACUUGAAUCAAGUGGGAGUUAAUCUUCCAGAUAAGAUAGUGAUUGACAGAGUUCUCUAGUCACCAUCACAAAGUUACUAGAACUUCGUGAUGAACUAUAGUAUGCAAGGGAUGACGAAAAUGAUUCCCGAGCUCUUCGUGAUGUUGAGAUCGAUGAAGGUAGAAAUCAAGAAAGAGCAUCAAGUGUUGAUGAUUGACAAGAACACUAAUUUCAAGAAAAGGGCAAAGGGAAAGAAAGGGAACUUCAAGUAGAAUGACAAGCAAGUUGUCACUCCCGUGAAGAAGCCCAAAGCUGGACCAAAGCCUAAAACUGAGUGAUUAUACUACAAAGGAAAUGGUCACUAGAAGCAGAAAUGCCCUGAAUAUUUGGUGGAUAAGAAGGAUGGCAAAGUGAACAAGGGUAUAUUUGAUAUACAUGUUAUUAAUAUGUACCUUACUAGUGUUUAUAGUAGCCCCUGAGUAUUUGAUACUUGUUCAGUUGCUAAUAUUAGUAACUCGAAACAGGAGUUACAGAAUAAAUAGAGACUAGUUGAGGGUGAAGUGAAGAUGUG